UUAUAAUAAAAGUAGAAGUAGGAUUGGAUACACCUAAUGAAGGCGACUAAGUAAGCAACGUGACGUUGGGGAUGACAAAAACAUCUUUCGACAGUGAGAGGCGGAUAUGCAUAUAUAUAUAUACACACACACACACACACCCAGCACAACAGAAUCUUGCAACAAUAUAUACCAGUAGUAAUAGUAAGCUGCGGUUGUACGUAGUAAACCAGACCAAACCAACCACCACGUUCAGAAUGGAGGCCAAACAGCAGCAGCAGCAGCAGCAGCAGCAGCAGCAGCACUUUCUGGUGGUUGCUUAUCCGAACCAGGGGCUGAUCAACCCGGCGCGGGUGCUGGCGGAGCGGCUGACGGCGUCGUCGUGCGGCGUCACCUUCUCGACGGGCUUCUCAGCCCACCGCCGGUUGUUCGUGGACGACUUCGCCGAGCUCUACGCCCGGGCGGCCGAGCUCGGGCCCCGCACCCUCGGGGCCGUCCUCGACUCCCUGGCCGCGCNCGCUCCCUACUCCGACGGCUUCGACGCCGGCUUCCGGUGGUUCGUGGACGACCUCGCCGAGCUCAACGCCCGCGUGGCCGAGCUCGGGCCCCGCACCCUCGGGGCCGUCCUCGACUCCCUGGCCGCGCGCGGGCGCCCCGUCACCCGGGUCGUGUACACCAUGGCCCUCCCCUGGGUGGCCGACGUGGCGCACCGCCGCGGCCUCCCCGCCGCGCUCUUCUGGGUCCAGCCCGCCGCCGUGCUCGCCCUCUACUACCACUACAACCGCAGCAGCGCACACUACGACCGCCUCAUCGCGGAGUCGUCGGCGGCAGCGACCGUCGAGUUCCCGGGGCUCCCGGGGUUUGAGAUUCGCGAGCUCCCCUCCGUGCUGACCAACACCUCCGACGAGACCUCGAGGGUCAUCCUGCAGAUCUUACGGGAGGCGUUCGAUACGCUGGAGUCGGAGUCGAAGGAGAAGACGACGCCGCCGCCCACGAAGGUGCUGGUGAACACGUUCGAGGCGCUGGAGCGGGAGGCCCUGGAGACGGUGCGGGGCCGGUGCGGGAUCGACGCAGUGGCCGUGGGGCCGCUGAUCAAGGGAGGAGCCGGGGGGGACCUGUUCGAGGCGGCGGAGGAGCGGCGGUACAUGGAGUGGCUGGACGCGCAGGCGGAGGGGUCGGUGGUGUACGUGUCGUUCGGGAGCCUAGCGGUGAUGAAGGGGCGGCAGAUGGAGGAGAUGCGCGCGGGGCUGAGGAUGUUGGGGCGGCCGUACCUGUGGGUGGUGCGGAGGAACAACAGGGAGGAAGGAGAGCGAGUAGGGUUGAAGUGGGACGAGGAGGAGGAGGAGCAGGAAUCAGCAGGGGGGAUGGGGAUGGUGGUGGAGUGGUGCGAGCAGGUGAAGGUGCUGUCGCACCGGGCGGUGGGGUGUUUCGUGACGCACUGCGGGUGGAACUCCACGCUGGAGGGGGUGGCGUGCGGGGUGCCCGCGGUGGCGGCGCCGCAGAUCGUGGAGCAGCACACCAACGCCGCGCUCCUGGAGAAGCGCUUCGGGACGGGGGUGAGAGCGGAGAUGGACGCGGAGGGGGUCCUGCUCAGGGACGAGCUCAGGAGGUGCGUGGACUUCGUCAUGCGGGACGAAGGGAUCAGGGCCAGGGCGGAGAUGUGGAGGGAGAAGGCGCGGGAGGCGGUCGAACAAGGCGGGUCGUCGGAUCGGGAGCUCAGGCGCUUCGUGGAGGAGGUCGCACCACCAUCGACCUGAUAGCAAGAUGGCGCUAUCAUCGAUUUGAGGGGCACCACACCAAAUUUGUAUAUUUCUAUAAUAAAACGUGUGAUCAUAUAUUUAUCAAAUUUGUGUAUUUGUAUAAUAGAACGUGUGACCAAAUAUUUAUAAUAAAAUAUUAUAUUUAAUGUUAAUUUUUUUACAGAAUAAUGAUAAUUUAUCUGAUAUAAUAGUAUAUAUAUAUUUUUCCAUAAUUGUGAAAAGAAAAAAUUUGAGAAGCAAAAUAAUUAAUAUAUUAAUAAUAAUUCCCUUACAUAUAUAAUUUAUUGAAAAUUUUGGUAGAGUAAUAAGUUAUCCCUUAACAAUUCAAUUCCUUAUUUAUUUUUAUAGUUUACGGGUGCGGUGCGGAAUAGAUUUGAUGUGUAUGUUGAAUCUUUUCUAGUAAUGUGGUUUAUCAUACGAUCAUUUUUAUAAUGUGUUUUAUCCAUACGAUGUAGGAAUAAUAUGAUUAUACAAUGUAAUAACAAAUUUUGAAAAUAAUAUAUAUAAUAAGUGUUGCUAACUUUAGUUACAGACUAGCCUUUUGGUAUCUGUUUGGCCCUAAAUUCAACGCCUUGCUCUAUACUAAUUUUUUUUUUUUUUUUGCCUUUCGUCAAUGGUAGGUAGGGCUGUAAACGAGCGAGUCGAGCGAGCUGGGGCCAGCUCAGCUCGCUCGAACGUCUUCAGGUCGGCUGUGCAUUCGGCAUCGGAGUCGUGCGAGAACUCAAAAACUCCGGCUCGUGAUCGGAUCGAACGCUUAAUCGAGCUAGCUCUGUUCGGGUUCGUAGGCGCCGCUGUCGAAGUUUCACUGCCGCUGCCGCUGCCGAAGUUCGAUGCUGAGGGCUUUGUUGUAUGGUGCGACCAUGACCGCGAGUGAGAGCGUGAUGAGGGAUGGAAGGUUAAAGCGUGUUGCACUGUAGAGGCGUGAGCAGUGGGAGGUCCAGGUGAGAGGAGGUACAAGCGGAACAUCGUAAUCUAAGAGAGAGUGGGGUUUGGGCAAGGUCGUGUAACAACCUGAGAAGUAAUGGGUAGUAGUAGUAGAGGGAAGGUAGUUAAAAAACGAAUAGGCACUUACUAGUAAAAUAGUGAGAAUAAAAAUGCAGCAGGCUCAGGGGUGGCUGGAUGAGGGAGAAGGAGAUAUGGCAGGCGGAGUGCGGGGCCGGAGGCCUUCGCAGCGGGGCGGAAGAUUCCUGAGGACUGGGUACCAGGGUGGUUAGGGAAUCUGGAAGGACAAGGUGGAGAGAGAUCGAGAGGUUGAAGGAGGGAAAUCCGACAGGGUAAUUAAGAGGAAAGCGGGUGUAAGAACUUAAGCGGAUCGGAGCUUCAGGAUCUUCGAGAGCGGCACGGAAAACGCUGGACAGUCCGGGUGCGGAUUAGUGCAAAGAAGGGAGGGCCAAGACCGUUUCCCGACUUCAGGCGGUUGAAACAACAGCCCAACAAGGCACAUAGGCAACCGAUUCAAACAAUCAGGCCUAAUUCCCAUUUGUGUCAUUGCGGUUAAGCACCUGUAGGAUAGUUUAUUUAAUUUCAUUCAUACAAGUUGUUAGAUUUAUCAGACUGUAUAGCAUAAAGGAGACGAUGAGAUGACAAUGAAUUGUCCAACAGUGGAUUGAGAAACCAGCCCAACAGAUUAGGCCAUAGAUAAUCCUUUAGAAUGAGCUAAAUUUAAAAUUAAUAAUCUGUAUUAUAUAUUUAUAUACAAAUAUAAUAUAUAUAUAAUAUAUAAACAUUAUAUAAUAUAAAAUAAAUAUCAAUGAGAAGUUUAUCGAGCCGAACCACAGAGCGAGUGACGCUACUGUUUCGGCAUGUUUAUAAAACGAGCUGAAAAUCGGUUCGUGUUCGGUCGUUUAUAACGGGAGUCGAGUCCGAUCUCGAGCUCAUUUCGAACCGAACACGAGCUGGCUCGCGAACAGCGAGCUGGAUUGCCACCCCUAGCUAAGGCAUCAUAAGGAGAGCAAGUAAAAUGAAACUCGUGCUAUGCUUAUGCGGACAUUGUUGGAUCACAAAGAGAGCGUAAUUUACAAGACCCAGAAAAGAUUCAUGCAUUAGCAUACAUUGUUUGCAAGUAAAUUGCCAAAUUUGUUUGUAAGGACAGCGUGUUUUUUUUUUUCCCCACUUCGGAGUGGGGGAUACUCGUGGCCAGGAGGGUCAAAUUCCUAUAUAUAUUUUAAAACCAAGAAUGCGCUAGCAAAUUAUAUUACAAAUAGUCUGUCCUGAAGUGAAAGUGGAACACUAUUAGAUAGAUCAAUCAAUAUUACGAAUUUUAGUUUAUACUGUCAAACAAAAUAUAAGCCUCAAUGAAAUAUUAAGAAUAUAAGGAAACAAACAUCUCGCUAGACAGGCAAAACAGAAAAAGGAAAAGAAAAGAAACUAGCUAUGGUACCCACCAUCUACAACCCUAUAAACUCUAGGACUUUUACAAGAAGGGGAUUUAAAAUUAUACCAACAAGAAAGAAACAGUUUACUCUUCGGGACCAAUUUUAAGACAAUUGAGUGGAGAAGAAAAGUAGAUGAAUUCCCUCUCAGCAGCAACCUGGCGACAAAAAAACACGAGGGAAACGAAGUUUAGAUGCAACAAGAAACAAACAAGAAAUCUUCAGGCCCUAUUUUGUUUGGCAAAAAAAAAAAAAAACCUUCAAAUGUUGUGUUGAUUACAAAUGUCGUCCCAUUUUCUCAAAGUUACAAAUCUAAAGAUUUGGUCCUUCAAAUCUUGUUCAACAAAAAAAUUAUGCUCAUCAGCUAGUCUAGCAUACCAAGAAAGAGUAUACAUCAGUAUCACUGUUAGAGUUUGCCAACAUUGCAUUUUUCUUUUCUGCUUUUCCAAUUUUAACGAUGAUAUGCAGAACAAGCUUUAAGGUUUAGACUUUACUAGAGAAACUGAAGAUUUCGAGGGUAAUGGAUUAAACUUUUCAAGGAAUAUAUCAGUAGUAAAACACCCAGAGAAUUAAACACAGGUGGCUACAGCAUUAUGUGACUGACUAACCAGCAGGUACAGACAUUAUCAAACAAUAGGCAGCAGGCAUACAUAGACAGAAACAAAAAUACAAAAAUAAUCACAAAAAGUGUCAAUAUAAUUAAAAAGUUAAUCAUGUGACCUUAAGAAGAGGGGAUGCAACCGCUGAAGCUGGUUGUUGUCUUGUUAGAUCCCUAUUGAUGAGGAGUCAGCACUGCAAGAUCACAAAAAACAUAGUCAGGACGGAAAUUGUACGAAUACCCAAUAGAAAAGGAAUGCAAGUACAGAUUUUUCAUAUCCCCAGUGGCUAAUAAGACUUGAGUUUUCAUUCAGCUAGAAUUCCCAGAAAAAAAGAUAGGUAAAGAAAGAAAUGGCGGAAAAAAGAAUGGGUUCGAACCGACUACCAUAUACCCAAAGAUAUCUUAUAGACAGCAUAGACAACACUUCCAUGACAUGAAGGUUGAUAUAUUCAUGAUAGAUAUAUAUACAUGUAAUCUAAUUACAUGUAUAACCCUGCAGGAUCUUAAUUUAUAUAUAUGCUAUGCAAACACUUAAUUCCUGCAUAUAUACCCCACCCCCAAACUUUUCAAGCACAGCUUCCUCCUCUGAAUUGGUUAACCUGCCCCCCACAAAAGACGAGGAUUAUUUAUGUAAGAAACGAAAAAUUUUGAGGGAUAGCGGGGUUCGGUAUGUAAAUAGAUGAUUUUGCUUGGAUAUAUACGUAAAAUCUGAUAAAAGGGUCGAUGCCUCUUUGGGGGAGAUAGUCCAGCUUUUCUAACCAGAAGCACUUGAAGGGCUAAAAUCUUAACCAAAUGUUGGAGCUUUUUUGGGGGGGAAGAAAAAGGCAAUAAUCACAAGAUGGGGAAUUUGGGUCUUUAACACUUGCCCCAACCAAUUGCUUUUUAGGCUGAUGGAGUUCCUUCAUUUUUCGUACCCCACUGUUCCUCACCAUCGUUCCCAUUUACAAGGACGCCGCUAUCUGUGGAAUCUUCAAGAUCGACUUCAACAGCUUCUUCUUGAACUUCCUCCUCUUGAACGUCCUCGUCCUCUUGAACGUCCUCUAUUACAUCCUCCUCCAUAGCCUGCAAAGAAUUGUAGAGAAAUUUUGAAGGAAGGGGAAAUACUAAAACUGUCUGCAAACAAAUAUAUAUAUAUAUAUAUAUAGAGAGAGAGAGAGAGAGAGAGAGAGAGAGAGUCCAACUACUAUGCUAUCAAUAGCACUAAGCAUUUGGUGCUACUAAGUUUUCUUCCGUUAGAUCUAUCCCUUUGAUUAUUUCCACCCGUUAGAUCAUACUAUUCAACCAAUCACCUACUCAACCCUAGGGGAUCACUAUCAUCCUAACCGCACAUCCCUUAAUCCAAGGGCCAAAAACCUAAUAGCACUAAUGACUAGGUGCUAUUAAUAGUAUAGUAGCCUAGUUCUAUAUAUAUAUAUAUAUAUAUAUAUAUAUAUAUAUAUAUAUAUGUGCAGAAUUUGUCCCCACAAACUAACUCACAAAAUUGAAAUCCUAGCCUGCGGUAGGGAUUGGAAUGAUUAGAGUUAUAAAUACAGCAUGCAAUAAAGACGCAAAAUGUGUUAGGAUCGAUGUUAAAAGAAAAUUGUAGUGCAUUCAAUAGAAAUCAUUCAAAAACACAAAACAGCCCCCCAAAAAAAAGAAAUGAAAAGUUACUUACAAAAGAUAUAUCAAAGAAGUCUUUCUCAACAAGGAAACUAGGCAUGCGAUCUCUUAAAGCAAGAUAAUUAGUUCAUUUUUGUGGUACAAGGGCAGUAUAGAUUCCUUGGGGGAUAUAAGUGAAGAAUAGUAACUAAAUGAAUUUCUUGGAAAACCUAAAUUAUUCCCUAUGAAGUGGAUAAAACAUGUAAUUUAAAACACUGAAAGUAAAUAUUACGUGGAUUUCCUACACACUACAGAAUUCAUUUGUAUGCUGAGGAAAAAGUAUCAGGUAUCAUGCAUUUUCUCUUUCUUUGCAAAGUUUAAUACCUCAUGACCAGGGUCUCCAUUUUCAACUGGUAAGUCUUCUUCAGCUAUUUGCAUUGCCUUGAAAACUUCAACAAGUGUUGCAUUUGGCUUUUCAGCGUGACUUAAAUAUUCCUCAGCAGGUGGGUAAAUUCCCCUGUAUGAAUGAGAAAUUUCACUAAAUUUGAACAAGAGAUAAAUGGGUUAUAGGAUAUAAGAUGCCCCAAAAAUAAGCCCAAAUAAUGCUGCACUCAAUUCCGAAAAAUUUUAUAAUUAUUGGGAAGAUCAACAAUGUACUACUUAUAAGCUUAAAGUAAGGGGAUAUAUGGAUUCAUGAAGUUUGUGAUUCGGCCGUAAAUUGAGUCUAUUAAGAAUGGAAAUGCCAUCCAUCAUGAAGACACCGAGAAGAUCCUGUAGGUAGCUAUGAGCUUAAAUUCUUGAAAAUAAAUUCCCUUCAAAAGGUCCGGAGCCAUCUUUCGUAGAAAGACCCAAAAUCUAGCCUAUGAUUAGACAGUGAAUCUCCCCACUAGACCCAAAAUCUAGCCUAUGAUUAGACGGUGAAUCUCCCCGGUGUUAUGUUAGUCCAUGGCAAGACCAAUAUUAUUACUCGCACGAAACUUGAUUUUCAACAGAAUAAUAAAUCUGUAAAUCCAAACGCCCGUUAAGCAUGUAUGUAUAAGGAAUGACGGAAAGACCAUAACAUAUGCACCUUUUAGGGGCGAGAUUAUUUUCAACAGCUAGAGCAACUUGCCAGUCUUCAAAUAGAUUAGGGUAUUCGGCAGGAUCAGCUAAAGACUCUGCAGCCUUUGGAUUAACCUGUGUAAAGAAAGGCAUAGUAUUAGAAUAGGAUAAAACAAGAUCAAAUUUGGUGGACCGAAAAGUUGAAAGUUGAAUACCAAAAGAAAGUUAAAAUCACAACAAAAAUAGCAAGCGAAUGAACCAAAAGCACCUUAUUGAGAUCAUUUCUCCAAAUUGCUACGAUCUCUGAAACUUUGCUUGGAAGAUAAGAACGUGCCAUCAAUGCAGCUUCUGGUAUUCGAUUACUGUAACACAAAAUUAUGUGAAAAUCAACAGAAUUAACAAAAAAAAAGGAGCUAGCAUACGAUAUUAAAAAAAACUUUGCAUGCACAGCACAUGAAGCACAUAAUUAGUUACCUCUCGAUCAACAGCUGAAUACAAUCCUCCACUUUACCAAGCAUAAAGAGACAAAGAUAAGCAACAUUAUUCUUCCCUUGCUCUUUAGCAAGGGACGCAAGUCUUGUUAUCCCUUCAGCAUCUCCAAGAGCUGAGUACAAAAGCAGUAAGCCGCUCAAGUCCAUAGCUUGCGAUAGACACUCCUCGGCCAUCUCUAACUGCAAAGAAGGAGGUUACAGGAUAUUAAAUAAAACCAGUUGCAAAGGGCAUUAGUGUAUCUGUCUCACAAACUAUCACCUCGACAUAGAGAAAGACGUAAGAAUCGUAUAACAAAUUUAACCAGUUGCAAAGGGCAUGUGACAUCCCAAUAGUCCCAAAUCGGAUGGGUAAAUGAUUCUGAUUGGAUUAUAAGAGCCCUCGCACCCUAAUAAUAAUAGCUAGGCGUAUGCAUUUUGGGCCGGUGGUUUGGACCUGACGUGCUAGCAGGUCAGGUCAUUACAAUUGGUAUCAGAGCCUGAUGACCAACCGGAGGUGUGAGAUGGAUCUUACAUCGCCUGGUGAAUCUGGGACUAUAUGUAUGAUUGGGCCGGGUUGACGAAAAUGUCAGGGCCCUAAACCAGGGAAGUAUGUGACAUCCCAAUAGUCCCACAUCGGAUAAUGUGAGAGAGUGAUGGGUUUAUUAGUGACGGACACACUAGUAAUAAUAGUCAGACUUAAGCAUUUUGGGUCAGUAGUUUGAGCCCGACGAGUUAUUAUUGCUAGCUGGUCCGUCGUUACAGGGCAUUAGUGUAUUUGUCUCAUAUCUUGAGGGUAGCUAAUAUACCUUUCCUGCUGACAUUGCUAGUUCUCCCAACUGCUUCCACUUGGAUUCACUUUGUACUUCAACAGCAAUUGCCUGCAAAAAUAAAUGUCUUCAGAAGAGAGAAAACUACUAUAUAAUCAACAUGCUCUUCCAGAAUUUAGUAGUAUAUGCAUUUGUCAUGUCCUCCAUCAUGUAACAACACCAAUCAUGCCGGACCUUUGCAUCAUCUAGUCUCCCAAGCUGAACAGCUAAGUCGAAUCUGUAGUCAGGAUCAAUAGCUAUUUCAAGAGCAUCCUCUAGCAUACCACGGGACUCCAAGAAACGAGCCACACUGUCCAAAAAGAAAAGGAUCCCUAUGAAAUGGGGUUCGCAAAAAGCUCAAGAAGUAUAAUGAUUGCAGGAAUUGACUGCAGGAGAACCAGAAAGAAAGCAAUGUUCAAGUUCUGAAAAGCAAAAUGAGAUACAGGAAUAGUUUCAACUCACAAAAAGAAAACACUAACAGAAGAGAUAACAAAGAAAAUGUGCAUAAAACAAGACGUCAAUUGUACUUUCAGGCAAAGACAGCAGAUUUCAUUUUAUUUCUUUCUACUAAUAUAACCACAAUGUCAGAAGAAAAACUUCCUAAGUGUAUAAGAAUCACAUUAUGUAUGUCCAAUUUGGAACUGCCGAGUAGGGUAUCCCAACAACAAUGAACUACUGGUCAUAUUUUGCUUUAUAUCAAAAUUUCCAAAUUUCCAGAUAUAGAAGAAUAAAUUUUAGAGAAAGUAAAAUUCCAUAACAGAUCAAGGAGGCACCUGUUAUGAUGUUCCUUUGGGAUUGAAGGCAACACAUCCUUUGCACGUUCCACAUCCCCACGCAUCACAAGAGUUUUAUAUUCAAUCAAACUCAGCAGUAGGGUGUAGCCCAUAACACUGCAAUGGACAAAAUUAUUGACCAUAGAAUCCAAAUGAUUGGAUGACAAACAUAUAACGAAGCAACUUCCAAGUAACUCACUUAAACUCCUUGUCAAUAAGAUAGACUCGACUUUGGCUAGCAAGAUAUCCUAACAAAUACAUGGGCCUAUCCAAAUGAAACAUGGUGGUAACCUACAAAACAGAGAAAAAUAAAUCAGUGAUCUAGGUAAUGGAAGCAUGUUGGUACAAAUCAAUACAAGCAAAUACGCCUUGGUGUGCAGAUGCAAAAUACUACCUCUCCACCGACACAAUAAUUUAAUCGCCACGCAGAGUUAUUGUAAAUGAAACAGUCUCCGACCCAUAUCCCAGUUCGAAUGCGCUCAUUAAUCUCGUGAAGCAGCUCAAAGGCAUCCUCAACACCUUGCUCAUCCACUGGCUUUCCGCCUUCAAGAUAAGAAGAAACAACAUCCCUCUGCAGAAAAGAAAGUUUUCCAUUAUGGACAGAAUAAAAUUAUCACCUAUUGUCAGAAUACCAAAUCAACAAGAGCAUGGUCUGCGCAAAUAUAAAUGAGAAGUUGCAUGCAAAAUAAUCCUGAUGUAAUGCCAUAUAUCGUAUAGUCUUACAUUGUACUUUAAGAUGUAAAAAGAUGUGUCGCUCGCAAUUGUCACCAAGUCACCGCUAUCUGCCCAGUAGAGAUUCUGCAAGGAGAAAUUAUUACAACAUGAACCAAGAUGAGAUACAACAGCAUACCACAAAAGAUGUAUUCUCAUAGUAGAAAACUAACUCACUUUAACAUUCACGUCAAUUCGGCGGAUUAGCCUGCACUCAGCCCAGUCAUAAAAGCAAAUGAAGUCAUUUGAGCACAUUGCCAACAAUAUCCCGCCAAAUAUACGCUCCGCAGAAAAGGUUGGCCGGAUACUUUUUUUCUCCUGAAUAUGCCGUAAGUCAAAACCUCAGAUCCAGAAUCAAUAGUCAUAAGAUAACAUGAUUUUUGAAAUUGAGGUCCACUACAAACAAACUAUGACAAACCAUGCAGAGCAGUAAGCUCUAGCACAACAAAAUUUCAACAUACAGAUGAGAGGACCUUGAAGGGCAAGAAAUAAAUGUUAAUUGUAUUACAAGCCUGCUAAACUAUUGUCGGUGAAGCAUCCAAGGACAGGCAGAUCAAGAUAAGAAUAGUAUACUAGUGCCAUAAUUAUAAUAACUAGCAGACAGUAGAACUUUCAACCACUUGCUGAACAUUCAAAAAAUUCUAAUAAGACUAUCUUAAACUAGAAUAUGGUAAUCACAUUUGAUUACAGAAAAAAUUAUUGUUACAAGAGUUGUCAGCUUACAAUACAAGAUUACAGUUCAAUUACCCAUGUUAAAGAUGUACAAAAAGUUAAAAAUUGUAAAUAAGGUAAGAACGAUGCUGGUCAUAGCCUGCCCCAAAAAGAAUCAUAUACAGAAGGCAUACCUGGAAAUUUUUACUAUAUAUCUUUAUCCUGGAUGUACUUUCCCUGACGGCGUAUUCUCCAUCCGAUGACCAAACAAAUUCCAGUGCAGAACCAAAAGAUCUAUUUCUCCAUGCCAAUGCAGUGUAUAUGAUAUAUUCUCCAUCUCCACAAACAACAACAAAUCGACCAUUUGGGUUAUGCUUUAAGCUCUGGCAAAAAGAGCAGAACAGUUAGCAAAAUCAUUAUUUAUAAGCUGAAGGAGAUUGUCAGAAACAAGAAAAUCAUAAAGAAUACAAUGUUGGAUCAGUACCAAUUAACAGAUAGAGAGUAAAUUGAACACAAGGUUUAUCAUCAAAGAGGCGUAGUUUGGACUUUGCAGCAUUUAGGGGUUACAGACAAUUAAACAUACCACAACUCAUGAUUAUUUAUUCUAUUCAAUCACAAGUCCGAUCUCGGAUUUCUGUACUCCAGAAUUGGUCAUAAUUUCCUAGGUAUAGGCAUCCGUACUACUAGUAAUUUACCAAGUGGUAGCUUUGAUAUGCGAUUAUAUCAAAUACUUGAAGAUGAUUUAACAAAGGGAUAUGACAAGAUUAAUCUUAAAAAUCUACAGAUGAGUUGGCCUAAACCAAAAAAAAUGCUCUCACAACAAGGAUCUAAACUGUUAUUUUUGACUGCCUAAUAGUAUCUGAAACAUUUCGAGUUUUCGACAUUCCUAGGUAUGACUUUUCUGUAUCGGAGAUUACAAAAUUCACUAUAUAACAAAGAGGGCGAGGGAAAAAUGUAUAAAUUACUAGAUGCAUCAGGGAUUAAUCAGUCUUAUGUAAACUUACUUGUGGGUAAAGAUCACAGCUUCCCAACUCCUUGACAGUCAAUGGCAAUCUCUCUCCGUCCGUAACCUGUCAGGGAAGAUAAAUCACCCAACGUCAAAUUAACUCCCAAAGCUUCUUUUUAUCAUUUAAACAGCAUGGAAGACUAACCUCAAAAUCCGCACCAACUGUCUUAAUGUUCACAGUUUGAAUCUCAUUAUGCUUUGCCCAUAUAAUUUUUCCACUGCUGUCCAUGCUAGCAACUGGUUCUUCGCGACCAAUUUUUAUCAUAAUCGUCCCUUCAUCAUACCCUAUUACUACCCUACAAUAUAGCGACAAUUUCACUUUAUUCUGCAUUAGAUAGUCCUGGAAAGUUGAACUUAGCACAAAACGAGGACACAAAAGAGUUAGCUGAAGAAUGAACAAACACAAGAAGAAGGCAGCCUCUAAGCAUGUCAAGAUAAUAAUAUUAGUCAAAGUAAUGGCAAUUUAAGCAACAAUUGUGAAAAGUACAUGAGUUCUUAUUUACAAAUCUUAAAAAAGAUAUUUGGGACUACCAUCCUGGGUAUAUGUACUAGACUAGAGGAAAAAAUGAGCCAAAAAAAAAAGAAUAGAUCUUCCAUAACAAAGAAAAAGGACAAAAAAAAUCUGGUAACAUCAACCAUUAAAAGAAAGUUAGAAGCGCUUUAGUGAUUCCUCCAUUUACCUCCUUGAACCUUUGAUAUAGCCAACAGCCCAAACUCGUUCAAGGCCAUAAUUGAGCGUAUUCUCAAGCCUGUAAAAGGAAAAUAUUAUUUGGAUCAAAAUCAAUAAAUCCAUUUGUUUCCUAUAGAAACUCAAAAUGAUGGUUAGACCACCUUACUGGAACAUCAAUUGCAAGAUUACAGAAGUCAAAAAUUUCACAUACAUGAAUUCAAACAGCAGUGCAGAGACAUAUAUAAGAAAGAACCAACCUAUAAGUAGUUGCAUGCCAUAUGCGAACUGUUCCAUCCUCUGAACCUGUGAUUAUUAUGGGAAGCUCAGGAUGGAAACAGACAGCUGAAACAUUAUGGGUGUGGCCUUCGAGUGUUUGGACACAGCUUUUGGUUUGAUAGUCCCAGACCUGAUUUGACAAGAAUGCAUUUAUACAUAACUCAACUAAGCAUAUAUAGUCGAGCUGCUUCAUGGAGAUGGAAAGGUAGGAAGAAGACCUUGGCAGUGUGAUCGUCAGAACCAGUAAUCAAGUAUGGCCUAUCACCACCAGUAAAGUAAUCAACACAAUUGACACCCUUCAAAUGAGCAUCUAACGUAAAAUUUGGAUCUGGAGAGCCAAGAUUCCAGAUCUGCAAAAUUCAAAUUCAAGAUAAAACACCGUACAUUGUAUCCCAGAUUAAAGAAACAAUAAUUUAAAGGUUAGAGAAUAUUACUGCAGACCUUCACUGUCCGGUCAAGGGAGGCACUUGCAAAAGUGUUGGUAUCUUUCGGAUUAAAACAGACUUGCAUCACAUAGUGAGAAUGUCCCUCAAAAAUUUGAGUACAUAUCCAACCCUUGUCCCAGUCCCAAAGCUUUAUCAACAUGUCAUCAGAUGAUGACAACACAUAUGGAAGGGUUGGAUGGACAGCCACACACCGUAUGUAAUCGGUAUGAGCUUCAAAAACUUUGAUUUUGUCCAUUGUAUUGUAAUUGUACACGCGAAUAAACAUAUCAUCUGCUCCAGCAACAACCCAUUGUUUACGUGCAAUAAAUUUUGCAGACCGCACUGAAAAUACAACAAAUAAGAUAUCAUGAACUCCUGACACCCAAAGAGAACGACAUAUAGUAAGAGAAGGAAUGGGGUUCAAAAUACCAUACCUGGUAACUCAGUGACUUCAAAUGAUUUCACCAUAGUCUGCAGAAACAUCAACAAGAAAUUGCAAUGUGAUUAAGAAUGAAAAUUAAAUAACAGUUCGAUGUCAAGCUGUUGAUAAUUGAUGGCAUAAACUGCUAUGCAACAGUAUCACCAUAAAUAAUCAUUAAGCAGAAUACAAAGAAGCUUAAAUUUUUAAAAGAGCACUAGCAAACUAAUAUAACCAUGUCAGUCUGACAAUUAAAAGAGUCCUUGGCGGUCAUUCUUACAGUAAAUAGGUAAACACACCAAUGAGGUGUACGUGUGAUUUGAGUUGAGCUAACUAAACCAAAGUUUAAUAAUUCCCCUAAGGCCCUAACUGAUCCUCCUCCAGGAACAUGUAGGGAUACUUCUUCAAGAUCAUGUGCAAAUGCAAAACAAGAAGAGAGAAGCCAUAAACUUCAUUAUUUAAAUGUUAAGGCAUAUAAGUAGGAGCUAUACCGUUUCCUAUAAAAGAUGAAAAAAAAACAGAGGAAAGCCUAGAUAAGUUGCAAUGUGUAUCACAAGGAUUUCUAAUCUGAAAGUCUCGUCUAAUAUUGCAUAUCCAACUCUUUGACUGGCUUAUCUGUUUAAUGAAAUAAAGAGUUUGGACGACAGGAAUCAAAGAAGCCCAAAUCUAGUCCCCAUUCUAGAACAAAAUGAGAUCUUAGGUGUCUUGUAACGCCGUUAUAUUUACCCUCAGCACAUCUCAGUGGCAUCUUCUAUCUUGUUCAAAGGUGUCAUUAACAGGGUCUGGUCCCUCACAUUGACUAAUCGAGGAUAUGUUUACUCAAUCAUUACAAAGAAAAAUUUUGAACCAAUAAGAAUGAUGACGAUGGUCUCUUCUUCACCACAAGAGAUAUGCACAAGCCUUCAGCAGGUCAAUAUCCAAAUCCAGUAACUAAGUUUCUGGAAAAAGCUGCCCCCAAUUUCCGCAUAGUAUGGUAAGACAAUGGUUUUAAUACAAGCAAAGCAACUUCAUGCAUAGCAUGUUUCAAAUUAUGCCCAAAAUAAGUAUCUUACCUGUGAUUGAUAGUUCCAGAUGCAGACACUUCCAGAAUAAAGACUUGCUAGAAUCCUGCAGCAUACACAGAAAAAGGCUUAUACGAUAAUAUACAAAUAGAUUUCUUAAACCACCUAAUCACCCUGAAUACUAAAAAGAAAAAAAAACCCUCAAUUACUCGCAUAUACAGUGAACUAAGUACUAAAUGCGCAUUCCACAUGAACAGAUCUAUGAGAUACAAGAUAUAUAUGAGACUAGAAUCGAAUUACCAUGGCUCCGUCGGAUGCAGAUCUACCGACUUCACUCUCUCCGACCUUUGCGCAAGUUUCCUCUGAUCCAGUGAUCAUCACAAGCAGAUUUGCAAUAAAUAGACGCAAAUUAGAAAGAAUUGAACACUACUGACAACAAAACCAAUAAGAUCAAAUCAAUACUUGAAGUACCUUGAUUUCUAAUCUGAGAGGCUGCACCACCGGUCGCCACAAAGCACAAAAAACAAACGUCACUAAUCAGAUCCCAUGCAAACCUCAGAUCUCGAUAAUAAUUCGAACAAAUAACAGCUAAAACUCAUGAAUCGAGUACAACUGUAGAAUGCAAUACAGAUCGACGAGAUCAGGGGGGAAUCGGAGCUUGGGAAGCGGAUUCCACGCCGGAUCUAGCUUACAGCAUCCAAAUCGACGAUCACCGAGAUAUGGAUCGCGAGUACGUACCAUUUUUGCGGAGUAGAACGAGGAGCGGCGGGGAGAUCCGGGCGAUCGUGGAGGGGAAACCCUAGAAAGCUAGGGUUUUAGAGGGGGCGGAGGGGGGAGGCGGAGAAGAAGGAGAGGCGACGAGGUGGAUCCUUCCGAUCUCGCGAGGGGCGUCCGUGGCAGAGGAGGAAAAAAAAAAUAUAGGGACGAGGGGGAAGGGGAGUCGGGUUACGGGGCGAACCGGGUAAAGUAGAAACGGUGGUGUGGCGUCCAAGCAGAGGCGCGGAUUUUCAGUUUAUUGCGAAAUUGCCCUUCGAUUGGGCUGCAAAUGGAUCAGGGUUGGCGGAGCUCCAACCCGGUUCAUCCGAUAAANAUAUAUAUAUAUAUAUAUAUAUAUAUAUAUAUAUAAUCCGUCGGGAUCCAUUAAAAAUUCACCAUAAACUAACUUCCGCAACGGUCCACUCUGAUUAAAAUGAUAAAUAAAUAAAAGUCAAAAAUAAAAUAAAAAAUUAAUUUGUUUUGGAUCAAUCCCGAUCCAAUAAGAAACGGAGAGGGGGUUUAGGAUCCUUCCCGUUUGCAUCCGAAGGGGAAGCGCGUCACAGUGUUCCUUAUAAGUGCUUUUGCUUAUUGUGAACCUAUGGAUGGUACAUGAUCUAAUUGUGGAGUUAAUAUACUGGCCCAUCAAAUUGGAAAUGGAUUUGAAAUGAAAUCGGAAUGAAAUUCAAUCCCUAAACGGGUUUUACAAUCCCAUUUCCAUCUUAGAAUAUGAGUUGCGAUAGCGGACGGGCAUUCCAACUCCCAUUUCCGACCAAAAUUUUCAUUCAAAUGCGCCCACACGUAACAAAGUUGUUCAGAAAGCUUGGACAAACAGGUCAAAUUGAAACUAAAAUAAUAUUUGAGUAAAGCUGUCACCUACACACUAACAAUUUACACUCCAUCUUCUUGGCAUACAACAAAAAUUCUAAAUUAUUAUUUACCAGGAGCCUGAUUUUGCCUCUCUAUAACUUCUCCAUAAUCUAGGCCAAGUUUACUUAUAAAAAUAUCAAAUAUGUCAUAAAAAAGUUUUUUCUUAAGAGGAAAGCAGUAUGUUAUCCGUUUUAUUUAUUUCAUUCAGAAAAAAACUUAGUUGAAAAUAUGAAACAAUUAGAUUUUGAACUUGAAAUUUCGAGUGCCAAGCACUAAGCUCUUUGCCUCUUGCGCUAGAGGCCGAAAGAAAAAACUGUGUACGAAAGCCCUUGUUCAGCCCACGGAACCCCCAUAAUGAAUUAGCAGGCUUUUCCAUUACAGGGCCCAGUUUGCUUUUCGGCCUUAUCUGUUUGGGCCUUAUUGGGCCGUAAGUUGAUUUGUUAGAUCAGCACAAAUUAAGGCUUCAUAUUUGGGAUUACUGGAUGCAUUACAUAGAGUAAAAUGGUACGAGAGUAAAAAACAAAAAAACAGUGUUUUAUAUAUUUACAUAAAUAAUAACACAUCGUGGAGAUCAAACUAGUGAGAUUCUACUAGAAAAUAAAAAAGCAUAUCUUUAUAUAUAUUUUCCCAGCUUAUUUUCUGCAGUAAUUAAGGUACGGAGAAAAACAUCACAUGAAUUUUAACACUUCAAUUAUUAUCAGCAAAUUAAGAUGGUCUCUAUAAAGGAUUAGUAAAUGGAUCAGGCCAAGAUAAAAGAGAAAAAUGUGGCCAGGUUGAUCGAUGGGGCCUAAGUUGUUGCUUACAUUUUGGAUUUACAUUAUGUAGGUCCAAUUAUUUGGAACAGUAGUUGUUCAACACUUACCUUCAACAUAGAGAUUUUUUUUUUUUUUUCUCCCUCUCUCUCUCUCUCUCUUUGGAGAUAUUUAGACUAUGGUCCCUAGAUAAUUUCUCAGUAGUAUAUAUUGAAAACUCUGUUAUUAUGAUUAAAUUUAAACAAAAAAGAGAAUUAUAUAUUUGGAGAAUGACACACUUGCGUAACUUGAGAGAACCUUGUAGUACUUACUACUUUUUGUUUCGUUCAUUCUCUUCACUUUUUUAUCUCUUUGAGCUUUCCACAUUACUUUAAACUAAUUAUUGACCACUUUAAGAUAUGCCCACUUUAAUUAUUUCAAAUUGGUCCUUCAAUCAUUUCCAUAGCUUUACCUAAAAAAUUUGUCACAGUUAUAAGUGAAAAUUCCUUAUAUCUUAGCAUAUAUAUAUAUAUAUAUAUGUAUUUUUUUCUUAUAAUUAUUCACCACAACACUUUAUACCGAGCAUUGAGUGGUCGUUAUUUGCUUUUUGACACUCGGAGGGACUUAAGUUGGUAUUAUUGUUGGGCACUAACCCAUCCAUUUCUUUUGGGAGCUCAGUGUAAGUUUUUUUUUUUUGAAAGAUAGGUAACAUGCUAUCCGCUUUAUUUAUUUCACUUAAAAAUAAACUUAGUUGGAAAUCUGAAUCAAUUAGGAUUCGAACUUGGGACCUCGAAUAUCAACCACCGAGCUCUUUUUCACUUGCACUAGAAACUGUCUGUGAGCUCAGUGUAAGUUAAAGAUACAAAAGUACGCAUGGUAUAUGUUUAUCAUCUAUCCACUAAAAAGUGCUUCACAAAAGAAAAGGUUGGAGAGACGUGCUUGACUCAUCACUUCUAUGAUUGUUAGACAAUAAUCCAAUGAUCUAGUAUGUUCCAACUCGUUAAUUUCAGGUUUGGACCCUAAAAUAUUGCUAUCAUAGUUUAUCGGUUUUCAGUUCAGUUGUGUUUUCAAUUCAUUUUAGAGUUUAAUUAACUUGGCAAACAUGUUUCCUUCCCAAAUCUAUAACCUAUUAAGAUCUAUGUAGGCCCUGUCGUAGGAUGCGAUUUCGGAUGGCAUUGUUAGAAGAAACAUAAGAUGUAGUAUUGUUUGAUAAACUGUCGAGUGCAAUUAUGCACGAUGUUAACAUGCCCUAUACUUUCGUAUAUAUGCAGGAAAAGCUCCAAAUCUUGUUGAUCAAUUAUUUGCCAAGUGCUCUAGGCGACAAAUGCUGCUGCGAAAAAAGUACCUAAAAUCUAGGCAAAGUAGGCACUAAUUCUUUGACCUAGAUCGUGAGAGAUUUGGAGAGGACACAAAAUAGGCACAAAGAGGAAAAAUUAAAGUAGCAUUCAAAUACUAAAGAUGAUAAGGUCUGUACCUGUUUCUUUGAUCUAAAUCAUGAAAGAUUUGAAGAGGAGACAAGAUAGGCACAAAGAGGAAGUAAGUGACAUUCAAAUAAUGCCAAAGAAGAUAAGUUCUAUAUGAUCUCUAUCUGAGCCAUUACAUAAAAAGCUAAAGUUGCAGAUCUAGCACACUUAUUAGUUCCACUUUGUAGAGUACAUGCAAAGCUUUGGAGCCACAGAUUAAUUAAUCUAAAAGUCAACCGUCCAUUCUUAGGCAGCUUUCACGUACUCUCACCCGCAACCGUUGAUCCUCUGACUAUAUUAAAGUCUAAAGGGUCACUCACAAAAAACCCUAGAAAUAUAGCUAGUUCAAAGAGAUACAUGCAUGGAAAUUACACACACCCACAAUGCAUGCACCUUCUUGUAGUUGCUCUUGUGGAGAGAUCCAAAUAUCUGAAAAGUACUUGCUCACAUAUUCUAAAGAAUAAUUUCACAUGGAAGUAGAGAGGCGUAUGAAUAUAGUCGAGUGUGUACUAUAUCAAUACUUAGCGAAAUGCAUGCAAAUAUGCGGAGAUUCACGUGUUCGUUCCGAUAGAAAACUACAGAUGACGUACUAACAGAAGAGUUAACAGAAGAGGUAGUGCAUGGCUUAAGGAUAUAGCACGCUAAAGAUGUCUGUAUAGGAAAUGAAAUCUAUGGCACAAACUUGAAUAGCUAACACUUUGGUCUAGCCCAGAGAAACUGUUGAUGGUACGGGAAAGCUUUAAAUUAAUCUGUAUGUAACUUCUUUUUUUUUUUAAGAGAUAGAUAGCAUGCUAUCCGUUUCAUUUAUUUUUUUUUGAAAUAAACUUAGCUGAAAAUAUAAAUCAACUAGGAUUCAAACUUAGGAUCUCGGAUACCAACUACCAAGCCCUUUGCCACUUACGCUAGAGACAGUCGGUUCUGUAUGUGAAUAUUGAUAUACAAAAUAGAGGAAGGUAGGUAAAUAAAAAGUAUGAUGAUACAUAUGCGGUUAGUAACUAACACACAUUUUAUCUUCUGUUACUCACAGUUAAAGCUUUAGAAUGCAACUAAAUAUGAAAACUACGUGAGCUAAUGAAAAUUUUCCUUUGUGAAAUCAUGCAACUAGAGAAAGGGAUUACCCUACUUAAUUAAUUUGCUCAUACUCACUUUCAACUUAAAAGAAAAGAAGAAUCAUUGCUGGACCUAUACCAACAAUUAUGAAGGCUAACAAUAUUGCAACUGUAGCCACUAUCUCAUUCCAAUGAGAUCCAACCACAAGUUUAUUAAAUAAAUAAAAGCUUCUUAAAUUGUAGUAAUUAUCAACCUUUGUUCAAGUAAUUAUAAUUAGUACAAAUAACGGACCAUCGAUCCUAGCAUAGAUUGGUAUCCGAGAUUCCAAUAUGGAAGGCAAGUUGCUGCAUAUUUCACAUUAACUUCUUUUUUAAAAAAAUGGAUGAAGCAUGUAUUAUACUACGUUUCUCUCAAAAAAAUUAAGAAUAGUUAGUACAAGUAGAAUAUGUCGUUUCUCCAACUCCAACUCUCAAUCUUUUAGAGAAAAACAGUUAUUUUACGGGACAAAAGAGAAGCAAUUACUAUCAAAGAAGCUUCUAAAGAACGGGGAUCAUGAAAUGGUUGUUUCAAAUUAGCAAUAUAUUACUUAAAUAAAUUUUAACUUGCAAGCCUUUGGAAUAUAUAUAUAUAUAUAUAGAGAGAGAGAGAGAGAGAGAGAGAUAAUUAGGCUCGUAUACUAUCGGAAGCACGGAGGUCUCCGUGCUACCAAGUUUUUUUCAAUGAUGUAGCUUCCAAAUUGAUGAUCGGUUCUGUUAGACUUGAUCUACACUACUAAAAGUAUUUGGAAACUAAAUUUCAUAACUUUUCGGCAUCAUUUGGCUAGUGAUCAAAAAGUCUCAAAAUUGACAAUUUUAAUGAUAGAUGUGAUGCGUUUGUAAAUUUAACUGUGUAAAAUAAUUCAAAUAUGAUGAAAAUUUUAUAAAUUUUUUUUUCACUAUUUAGAGUAAGAUCAGUACCUCUAAUCUUAAAUUCAAGUCUUUUAUCAUUAUUUUUUAUAAAAUUUUUAUUUUCAGCCGUUCAUUUUUAGACUACUCGUUUGAUAGGCAAAUGAUGCGAAAAAAUUAUGAAAUUUAGUUUUCAAACACUUAAUUUUAAUAGUGUAGAUCAAGACUAACGGAGCCGAUCGUCGAUUUGGAAGGUACAUCGUUAAAAACAACUUGGUAGUACGGAAGCCUCUGUGCUACCAAUAGUAUACUAGCCUAGCUCUAUAUAUAUAUAUAUAUAUAUAUAUAUAUAUAUAUAUAGCGCUACUGUACUAUUAGGAGUACAGCAGUCCUUAUGCUUCUAAUUUUCUAACCAUCUACCAAAUUUAAUGAAUGAUUAGGACAAGAGAAAGAAGAGAAAUUAAGGAGAAAUUCAAAAAGAAGAGAAAUUGAAACACCCAAUUUUUUUUUGGAUGAUGUGGUGGACUGGGUCUAAGCAAUAAAUUUUUGCGUCGCACGGUAGGGUCACUUAAGUUAGGAGGAGAGAUUAUCACGUGGAUUGAAGAAUCUGUCAGAUAAUAUAUUUGUAUAGAUGUAUAGAUUGUUAUUUCUCUUUCAAAAAUAUUGAGCAGAGCCCAUUGUCGAUAUCCCUGUGAGGCCUACAAAAAGACUCGCCAUUGACCCUUCUCUAUCAAACAAUACUUUUGCAGGAGAAGCACUUCCUGCAUGCUUAAGUGCUUUUGCCACUUCUGAAAGCGUGUAUCAGGACCUAACAAUAUAAUGCUAGCAAAGCCUAUGUAGGUUUUUAAUUAAUAGAACUGUUUGAAGAAGCCAUAAUGAUUUUUUCUCCAUCAAAAUUUUUCACACUUGUUUGGCUUAGCUCUUUAAAUAUUUUUUCAAUCUUGAGAAGCAGUAAUUAAGUAUUUGAUAAACAAAAAUUCAAAACUUUUGAUAUUAUAGGAAAGGCUAAAAUUGCCGUGCUAGCUUUUAGUCUCCGAAUGCAAAAAAAUUUUGAAUCGAAAUUCUACUGCAAUGUUAAUGAAAAGUUGUGAAUGUUUUUUCGAAUAAAUGUAUUCGAGCAGCACCUACAUAAAACUUUCAGUUGUCACAUGUAAACCUUCAUCAACUAUUAUGUUUUGUUACAAUUAAAUGCAACAGUUAACCUAAAAUCAGAAUUUUUGUUGUUGAUUUAAUUUUGUUUUUCGCAAAAUAUGUAACUUCUUGUUCUUGAAUAUAAGCUAAAUACACUUUUAAUAGGGCACAUUUAUCAAACAAUAUAAUAAGAUAAGAAAGUGAUGCGGAAAAAGAAAGAGAUUUUCGCAAUUCAGAGGCAUAGCUCAGCACAUCAGAAUUAUCAAAGUUCGUUGUAUUAAACAGUUAAUCCUGUUAGGAUGAGAAAAAUCGAAUUCCACGAAAAAUUAAUAAGAUUGUGAUCAUUGAAGAAGGACAUUGAAUUCGAUAAGUUCCACUUUAAUCAUCCCACUUACCCACUACAUUCCUUCACUAUCUGUUGCCGCUACUGCCAUCUCUGAAUCACUAAACUCUUCUCUCCUCUAACACCACUCUCUUUUUUUAUUCUAUCCAAUUCAGACCAGAGUGUCAAUUCCAAGCAUUAAGAUACUCAUAAUAAAUUAAGCCUCGCUCUCCUAUCCAUUGUAACUCUCCUGCGUCGACCGCAGAAUCGCUAAACUCUUCUCUCUCCUACGACAUCACUCUCUUUUUCAAUUCUCUCAAAAUCAAAGAACAUGGGUGCCUAAACUAGGGCUUUUAGAUGUUAGUAACAAAACCUCAGAAUCGCUCAACUCUUCUCUCCUUCGACGUCACUUUCUUAUUUUAUUCUAUCCUAUUCAAAUCCAGAUACUGAACACUAAUAAGUGUUUCUAAACAAAACAACUCUCUUAUCUAUGAUUCUAUGAAGCUUCGUAUAAAAGAAAAUUACUUUAUCAAAUGGAAAGGAGAGGGUUGCGGCGAAAGAGGGGUCAAUUACUCAGUUACCCGCAUGAUUGCAAAUAGAAAUUUCUAGCUCAAAAAGGUGCGGUCGUCCCCAUCUCCCCCCAUUUAUGCGGAUAUGCCUCGGUAUAUCCCCCUCGCACCAACUCAAAAGUUUCAUCAUCACAUGUAGAAGAAGAUCGAGGAAAAUAUAUUGAAGAGGAAGGGAAACUUUUUCCCGCGUACAUGCAUUUUGAAAUGAGUCAAAUUAGUUGAAAACCACUUUUAUCCAGGUUUUAUUUAAAUAUUUGCUCGAUCUCUAGUGCAUUACUUUAUAAAUUUUCUUUUCUUUUGCAAUAUUGUUUGAGUGGUAAGUUUAAGAUGGAAUGAAUGAAUCACUUUAUAAAUAGAAAAAAAAAAGAAAAAUUGUCAAAAAAAAACCAUGUUAUGAUAUAUAUAUAUAUAUAUAUAUAUAUAGAGAGAGAGAGAGAGAGAGAGAGAGAGAGAGAGAGAGAGAGAGAGAGAGAGAGAGGGGCUACUAUACUCUUAUGAGUACGUACGAUCGUCCCCAUACUCAUAAGUUGUUUCCGAUGAUAGAUCUUCCGAAUCGACGAUUCAUACCAUUAAAUAUUAUUUAGAGCAUUUAAAACUUCUAAAAAUCAAAUUUCAUAGUUUUUCCACAUCAUUUACCUUACGAUCAAAAGCUAACAAAAUUGACAAUUUUUAACGGUCGGUAUGAGAUACUUGCUAGUUUAACGGUGUAAAAGAAUUGGAGUAGAUUGAAUUUUUGAUAGAAAAGUAUAUUCACUACCUAAAUAAAGAUCAAUAACUCCAAUAUUAAAUUAAAGGAUCCGAUUAUCCAUUUUUAGAACGUCAUUCGAUUUUGACCCAUUUUAUACCCAUUUGAUUAACUUUAUUAUGAUUUCGAAAAAUUACAAAAUUUAUUUUUUAGAAGUUUCAAAUACUCUAGAUCUUAUUUAACGGAGUGGAUCGUCAAUUCGGAAGCCCCAUCAUAAAAAACAACUUAUGAGUACGAAGGNAAAAAUAAUCAAAGAAAUUAAUCUAACGGCAAAAAACUUGAUAGCACCAAGUGCUUGGUGCUAUCGAUAGCAUAGCAGCCGGACUCUCUCUCUAUAUAUAUAUAUAUAGAGUUUGGUUGGCAUACUAUCGAUAGCACCAAACGUUUGAUGCUAUCAAGUUAUCCGCCGUUAGAUUUAAUCCUUUUUAACUAUUUUUAUCCGAUAGAUUAUACUAUUAAAUCAAUAACUCACUCAACUCUAGGAAACCCGCAUCAUCCUAACCAUACAUUUUUUCAUCCAAAAACUGAAAACCUAAUAGCAUCAAUAGCUUGGUACUAUUAAUAAUAUUGCAGCCUAGUUCUCUCUCUCUCUCUCUCUAUAUAUAUAUAUAUAGAGAGAGAGAGAGAGAGUUCGGCUACUAUCCUAUUAAUAGGAUUGGGACCAUUGUCCUAUCAAAUAGUUUUGAAUGAUCGACACUCCAAAUUGAUAAUCGACACCGUUGAAAUUGAUCUACACUAUAAGAAAUAUUUAAAAACCGAAUUUUAUAAUUUUUGAAAAUCAUUAUCAAGUCUAUCGAAGAGUCGAAAAAAUGAACGGUCAUAAAUGAAUAACCUUCUUAAAAUAGAGGUUAGACUUUCUCAAAUCAUGAUCAGAGUUAUCAAAUAUUAUCUAAAUAGUAUAAAGAAUUUUCCAUAAAAAAUUCAAGCAAUUUGGAUUACUCUACACCGUUAAACAAGCAAACGGCUCAUAUAGGCCGUCGAAAAUUGUCAAUUUUACGACACUUUGAUCAUCAUGUAAAUAAUUUUUAAAAUUUAUGAAAUUUAGUUUUUAGAUAUUUCAAAUACUCUAGAUCAACUUUAACGGCUCCGAUCAUCGAUUCAGAAUCUCUAUCAUCAAAAACAAUUUGAUAAGACAAGUGUUACUAUCCUGUUAAUAGGAUAGUAGCCUUAGCCUAUAUAUAUAUAUAUAUAUAUAUAAUGCAAAAUUGGGAUUGACAAGGGCCUACAUAUUUGUACCCUUUGAUCUAGUAGAAUAUUGUAUAUAAUAUUAGAAAAUUUGAAGCUUCUACCGUAAUGAAAAGCUAAAUAUGUUUUGCAGGCUAAGAAAAAAACUUCAAUUUAAUUAGUCCUUCUAAACAUGAUCGUUUGUUAUUGAAGGCUAUCUAAUGCCACUAAGCCGUAACUUUAAGACAAAACUAUAUAUAUAACAAUAUACUUAAUCAUUUUUUUAUGACACUAAAAAGAAUUCUAUCUUAAUAAGCAAGUGCAAUCUCUGAGACUAAUUAUUAGUUACAAAACAGGUAAAAUAUUUUUUUACUAUACUUUUUAGUGGCAUGCUGUGUAUUUACUCUUUUUGAAAAGCCCAAAAUAUAUUUGGAUAAUAAUAAAAUAUUUUUCUAACAUAAUUAAUUUGGAUGAGGACAAUGAUAACGUAAGUUUUUUUUUUUGAGAGAGAGAUAGGUAGCACGCUAGCCAUUUCGUUUAUUUUAUUUAAAAAUAAAUUUAGUUGAAAAUAUGAAUAAAUUAAAAUUUAAAUUUGAAAUUUUGAAUAUCAAUCAUUAAAUUUUUUGUCACUUAUUUUAGGGACGGGCUAGUUGUAAUAUUCUGGUCUGGUCCGAGUCCUCGCUCUCGUCAUGCUUCCGACCGUCGAGCCUAACGUUGACCUCCGUCGGUCGCGUCCGCACCGCGAAAGUGGAAAAGCGGCUGACCUAAACGCGCGUUUUCUCCACCCGUCAACUCUAACGGCGGUGCACAAAAAAAAAAAAAAAAAAAAAAAAACGCGUGCUCAAAAUUUCGAUUAAACAAAAGCUGAUGUGGCAGCCUACGUGGCAGGCACUAGGCGAUUGUGAGUGGCAAUCAAUCAAUUUUGUCACACCCCGACGCGCUUGUGCACUUUUAAAGGUAAUUUUUAACUUGUACUAUUUGUGAUGUAGAUGUUUCGUACAAUAGGCUGUGUGUUAUACUUACUUGGUUGUCAUUUCAAUAAAAAGAUUAUUAAUUUUUCUUUAUUUACUUACAGUUAAUUUUAAAAACACAAGGUAACACUGAAUUAAAAUUAAAAUUUCGUUUGAAAUUACGGAGAGAUUACGUUAUAUGCGGUGAGAAAGUAUGAUGAAAAUAUUUUAUUUGUUUCCGUACGUAAUAUUGUGUUCCGCAUAUCGUGAUUAAUCGAUUACGAUAUAUUUUCUGUGGUCCCAUCGGAGAACGCAGAAUUCUUAUAUAUUUUUGCUCCAAUUCUAUUUUAUCUAAUAGCGUUAGAUAGAUCUUAAUACCAAACUAAACCUAUGUAGUAUGAAUCUGUAAAAAAAAAAAUUAUGUUUAUAUAUAUUUCCGGGCUUUUCGUUUUGUGAGGUGGUGAAUUCGAUCAUCACCUACAAUAUUUAAUAAUACUUCAUCUUAUCUCUAUCAAUUAUAUAUGUAUUUUAUAUUUAUUAUGUACAUUGGUAGAAAUAUUAAUAAAUGUACUUUUAGGCAACAAACUCAAAACUCUAAAGCGUGAGUAAUCGAGGCAUCUAAAUUUUUUAAGAGAAUGAAAGCUGGACGCACAAUCUUAAAAUAUUUAAAUCUGAAAGAUUUAAAAACAAAAGAAAAUUUUCAAUCAUAACAACAACGCAAAUUCUUUUACCACAUGAGUCACCAAAACUCACAAUGAUCCGAACCUAAUGAUCCUAGCUAGAACUUGUAAGAACGCAACAUGAUUCGGAUUCGAACCCAAUCCGAACCCAAAAAAAUAAGCUCAACAAAGUACUCCUCCCACGUCCAAUCGGAUGGUGGAAAUGAUAUUCAUCAAAAAAAAAAAAAAAAGAAAAAAAAGAAAAAAAGAGAAGAAGAAGAUGAUGAUGAUGAUGAGGCUGAUGGGUUGAUCAACGGCUACCAUUGAAUCUGCAAAGAGAAUCAAACCACUCUGCUGCCAUGUUAUGUUACGAAUCCAUCCAAUUUCGGUGACUCCUCGCCGCGUACACGUACACAUCGACAUUAAUUCCUAUUCGUAUUCUCCUUUUCGUAUUCAUAUCUCUGAUUGAUACGACGCAAAUGGAAUCGGUUAAAAUGACUCUCCUGAUGUGUCCAUGUACUUAGCCGUUCUUUUAUCAAGUGCAUGUGGAGUUAAUGGGUGCUCUCACCCCCCUAUAGCCCUAUGUCUAAGAGACACAUGAUAUAUAUAGAAAAGUUCUAUACAAUAUAGAAACGGUUCAGAAAUAAUUUUUUUUGAUAGAAUAUUCGCUAAUCUCUUAAAAUUUAAUUUUAAUUUUUAAAAUCAUAUUUUUGAUUUUGGAGGUUAAUUUCAAAAUUGGAAUCAGUUAAAAUUUAUUUUGAAUUCACAAUUUAAAUUCACAUUCUAAAUUCUAAUUCAAGUUUAAAUUCAAAUGUAUUUUUAAAAUAAGGUCAAUAAAAAAAUAUUAUGCGCAAGUAGCAAAAAAAAAAUUACAAAACAACUUUCUAAAAGCGCCUAAAAAAAAAUCACAUUUUUUUGUGAAAUGCAUGCAAAUAUCCUACAAUUUUGAACCAAAAACAAUUCUCCAAACCUUAUAGAGGUCUAGAGAUAUAUAUAGCUUUUAACCAAAAAUAAUUCUUUAAGCCAAAAUUAAUUUUAUAAAAUUCACUUUUCCGACAGUUAACCAAACAUGCUCUUAAUGAUAUACGUGCAUCACUCACAUGCGUAAUGCAGAUCAACCACAUCACGUGUACUAAUAGAAUAAUAAGUGAUAGAUUAUAGCUUAGACAAUAAGCAAAAAUAAAUAUAUAUACACCAUUAAAUGGCAGAUGCAUGUGAAAGAUAAACCAAAACCUCUUGGAGGAGAAGUUCUGAGAAUCGACUUUUAAACCAUUUUACUUGUAAAAAGUAAAUCUCAUAGCUAGUAAAUGAUUCGGGAAUAGCCUUUAAAUAAUAGGGCAUAAAAUUGUGAAUGAGGAAUAUAAAGAAAUGGAGCUUUCUUGAAUGAGAUAACAAGCUAGUUAUAUAUAUAUAUGUAUAAUAUUUCUAGACCUUUCUAUAGAUAGAAAAGGGCAUCUCAUUGUUGUCCAAGCAAUGUGUUUUCUCUCUAAUAUAAAAAAAGAAAAUGGUCCCCAAGUAAUUAAAUAUAUUGAUCUAACUAAGAUAUUGGAUUAGCCGUAUAGAGGUUAGGUUAGUACUUCCUUACUUUGAGGGCCAACAAAUUAAGGAGCCUUGUUGAUCAAUCUAAGCAUUGAAAUAUUGAAAUGUUUUCAAUGAUUCUUAACCAACUAUACCGAGAUUAAUGGCUUUUCUGAUUCAAAAUCUUAUUUCAGCUUUUCAUUUCAUAUUAUGAAAGUCGGGUCAGCGAGAUUUUUAAAUCCUAAUAAUCAACACAAGAAAUAUUAAAAGCCACAUACCACGAAAACUAAUGAAUAGGGAGUUGGUAUUAACAAAGUUGAUUUUAAUUAGUAUUCCCUAAUUUAUUAAUUCAAUUUGUAAACGCUUAUUAUGUCAUAGAAAGCUAAUCAAUAAAACUAUUGGCUUUAGCAUGAGAAUAAGUUAUGAAAACCAUUUUAUUAUUUAUAUAGCAAAUACACUAAAAUAUACUAAAGUUAGCUUAAUAAGUACAAAUUAUUAUAAAAGUUCUUAUAUUUUCUACAAAAUUAAUUAACUAGUUUCACACAUCAUAACCAGAUUAAUGAUCAUAAAUCAUGCCAAUCUUAUCUAUCAUCAAUUUAGCUUCAAAAUGGUCUAUCUACAUCUGGCUUGAUAUGAGAUUCCUCUACUUCUGCUCAAUUUAUUUAGGUAAUGUUGGCGUAUUAUCAAGUUUGAAAUUGGAGAUUAGGUUAUCAUUCUACUACUUGAGAAAGAAUGUAAUAGAGCUAGAACACUAUUAAUAGUAGAGGAAUAUUGUUUACAUCUAAUUUUGUAGCCUUAAGAUUCCAAGGGUUAACUGUUUGACGAGGUUAUACUAGUAUUGAUCCAAGAGCCAGAAAGUUGGUGUAAAUAUUAUUUCUUUACUAUCGGUAGUAUUUUAAUUAAACUCUAUUUAUCUUAUAACUUUCGGCAAUACUUUUUUUUUAAGGACCCACCAUAUAUAUUUAGUUUAAUAUUUAAGUAUCAUAAAAGUGUUUUGUGUGCUUAAUUAUCUAAAUAUUCGAAUCCAUUACAUAACAUGCUUGCAUGAUAAAUCCUACAAAUUUGGAUGUAGUAAUCCACUUCCAACACCUUUGAAGGGAACAAUAAAAUUACUUUUACACCAAACUAUCAAAAACAAAUUUUGCUCUUUUUUCAGCCCUUCUUUGAUGACAAAUGUCCCUCCCUAAUUAAUGCACAUAAAUCACCAAACUUUUUUGCCUUAGGAUCAACACUACUUCCCACAAAAAAUUAUUUCCUAGACCUGGCCCACUGCAUCAAUCAUUGACCAUAUACUGAUAUAGUGCUCUUUAUUCCAUCUUAAUUUGCUUUAAGAUUUUAUCCCUUUUUUUUGAUGAGUUUGAAUUUUAUUUUCUGCAAGGAACUUAAUCAAAUGAGAUUGACUGUGCUAUAAGAUGGAGGGUGGGAAUUGUAAUCUAUCUAGACAUUACCAGAUAAAGCGAUAAGAAACGAUCGAGAGAGAACUUGUUCAAAUCAAUAGGAACAUGAUGUAACAUGCCUAUCAAAUAUGUUCACCUUUUUUCGUUCGCAUGUUAAGUUGAGUUAUAAGCAUCUAAACCAAUCUCCAACUAUUCCGACUAAAAAAUUCAAUAAAAUCGAACAUGAACACAAUCUUCUAACAUACGGGGCCAGGCAACAAUUUUUUUUUUUUUUUUUUUUUAGAAAAAAAACUUAACUGAAAAUGUGAAUCAACUAAGAUUCGAAUUUGGGAUCUCGGAUACCAACCACAAAGUCCUUUGCCACUUGCGUUAGGGACGGUCGGUGCCGGACAACAAUUUCUCCCUCUCGAGAGAAGGGAGAUAUAUAAAGUUAACAUGUUACGACAAACGCACAAACGGAAACGAAAUGACGAACACAAAAACAAUCAAACCACAAGCAGAAAAAUAAAAAAAUACAGAUUUACGUGGAAAACCCUUUGCAGGGAAAAACCACGGGCGAGGGAGGAGAGAUCUUCACUACGGGCUCGGGCCUGUCGGCCCGAGCCCUACGCUACCCACCACAGACAUUCAUUUUUCCUCCAUAAUUUUUUUUUUCAAAUUGGUCGCACCGCGAAGCUGUCGGCGAGUCGUAAACCCGAACCUGAAUCGAUAGUAGAUUUCGGGUCACAUCUAACAGUUAACAUUGGUGUGUUUUUAUUUUUUAUAAUUUUCUUUUUGUUUCACUUUUAUUUUUCAUUUAUAUUUUUAUAAAAGAAAAAUCUAUACGGCACAGAUAGGCGCCACGUGGGAGAGUCUGUUCACGUGGCGCCUAUCGGAGCCCGGGGCUCCAACAAGGCUCCCACGCGGCGCCCUACUGGAGCCCGGGGCUACAACAAUUUGCUGGAGCUCCGGGCUCUAGGAAAUUGUUUUUCCCUCCACCACCACCCUCUCCCACUCCCUCUCCCUCUCCCUCUCACUCUAUAAGUAGUCCACCACUCCCCAUCUUGUUCCUCAAACCUUCAAGUUCCCUCUUCUUGUAUGAUCUUCUCCAGUAUAUUGUAAUAUAAUAAAAUAAUAGUAUAAGCUCCCUCUCCUUCAAAAAAGAAAUUAAUGGGUGGAAGCUCUAACAGAGUAGAGAGCUUCCCAGAUGCUCUAGACCUUGAAUCAGCUUCUCCAGUGGAGAAAAGCCCUUCAACUCCACAGCCCUUGGAGAUCCAUAAGGUCCCUUUGCCUCAGAAAAAGACCACUUUUCAAUCCCUGAAGCAGAGGCUCAGUGAAGUGUUCUUCCCUGAUGAUCCCCUCCACCAGUUCAAGAACCAACCUCUGCUCAAAAAGCUGAUUCUGGGACUUCAGUAUUUCUUCCCAAUAUUUCACUGGGGUUCUGAGUACAGCCUGCAGCUUCUUAAGUCUGAUGCAGUCUCAGGCCUCACCAUUGCCAGCUUGGCCAUUCCACAAGUAUGCGUGAAGCUGCCACCUUUUCAUUCAACUUUUUUUUUUUUUUUUUGGUUUUCAAAUCUCAAUUUGUUGUAAUUUUUAGCUCGAAUUUAGUUCACUAAAUACUAACGUAUUAUUAAUGUAGAAGUGAUGUGACAUCUUAAUCAUUACUGUCACCAAUCGCAACACUGUCGCAUCACUUUCUACAUUAAAGACGUAUCAAUAUAUAAACAACUAAAUUAAAUCGUGAAACUUUACUAUAAUAAUUCAGAAAGUACGAACUAUUUUUUUUGUAUAAUAUUUCUUUCACAUGUCAUUAUUGAAAAUGUAGUUUCUGACAAAAAUACCCUAAUUGGCUUCGUAUGAAAAUUUGCAGGGGCCUAAAUAUAUAAAUAACUUGUCACUACAAGUAUUUGUGGGGUAUUUGAUCUUUGCAAAUAGUUGCACAAGAAUAAGAAGUUGGUUUGUUUAAGCUAGCUUGCUAAGUGUUUUCUUUCCUUCUUUACUGAUGUUCUCACUUGAGAUGAAUGAAUAUUUGAUACAAAGCAAUACCAUCUGCAGCUGUCUUAUUACAUUUUUUUUUUUUUUUAACAGGGGAUCAGCUAUGCAAAGCUUGCAAAUUUGCCUCCCAUUAUUGGCUUAUGUGAGUAAAUUAAUAUUGUUAUUCUUUUCUAGAAACUAUUACUUCGAACACUAGAGCUUAUGCUAGACUGUUGUUCGAGUUGAGAUAUUCAAGAAAUGCAAUACAGACAGAAGUUUCAAAUUAAAGUUUCUGUUUUUGAGGCACAGAAAGCUCAAUUCAACUGCUUUGAUGAAUUAAGCUCAUUCUCCUGAUCUCAUGAAAUCGAUUCGGUUCGGUUUGGUUCGACAGAUUCGAGCUUUGUGCCGCCAUUGAUCUACUCAGUUCUUGGGAGCUCAAGAGAUCUAGCAGUUGGUCCAGUGUCAAUUGCAUCACUAGUGAUGGGCUCCAUGCUAAGAGAGAUGGUCUCACCUGAUCACCAGCCUAUGCUCUAUCUCCAACUUGCAUUCACAUCCACCUUUUUUGCUGGUGUUUUCCAAGCCUCAUUAGGCUUCCUUAGGUAACUGAUUCUAUGCUUACACUUUAACUUAUUCUAAGCCCACUCUCUCACCAAAUAAGUUCUUUCCUUGAUGCACAUUUCAGUUAUUUGUUAAUCAUGCAUUUUUGUGUUAGUUGGAAUAUAUAUAUCCCCACUAACAUGAGAAUAAUUAACUUUUUAUCUCGUCACCAACCAUAACUAAGGCAGUUGAUUAAAAACUUGAUGAUUGGUGCAUGAGGCUCCAAGUUCGAAACCUACUUACUUCACAUUUCUAAUAAAAAGGAAAAGAAAUGAACAAAACGGGUAUAUUUCUUUUCUUGUCGAUUCUGAUGUGCUUUACGUCGAUUCAGGCUGGGUUUCAUCGUAGAUUUUCUAUCGAAACCGACGCUGGUCGGAUUCAUGGGCGGCGCGGCAGUUAUUGUAUCUCUUCAACAGUUGAAGGGCUUGCUUGGCAUAGUUCACUUCACUACUAAGAUGGGCUUCAUUCCUGUGAUGGUAUCAGUUUUUGAACAUAGAAAAGAAGUAAGCAAAACCCUAGAAAUAUACAAAAUGAUAUCUUAUUCUCUUAUAAAUUAAUUGUAUCUUCAUAUUUCUUCUUAUAUUAAUGCAGUGGGCUUGGCAAACUAUUCUUAUGGGGACCUCAUUCUUGGUUUUCUUAUUGAUUACAAGGCAUAUAGUAAGCUCCUGCAGAUCUUUUUAUCCUUUUUGAUCUUGUGUAGCUUUUGAUUUAAUAAAAAGUAAUUAGGGUGGUAAUUGAAACCCUAGGGGUGCUUUAUAUAUAUGUUCUUUUGGUGGACCCUAAGUUGCGUGCCACUUAAAAAAGGAAUUCAAGUCCACUGAAGUAUUACUGGUUAAUAGAAGAUGAUUAACCUUAACCUCCCAUUUUGGUGGGUCCAUUAGCCAUAAUAGAGUGGGAAAUUAGUACUAUUAAAUAAAGAGGAUUUUGCAAAAGCUGGCCUCAAGAUUUUUAAAAUUACCCAAUUAAAUCACUUUUGUUUUUAACAAAAGGAGCAUAUUUUGUUUCUUGUGGACUAUGGCCUUAGGUAGAAUAAAUUCUCCAUAUAAAAAAGCAGCACUCAGGAAGCUAAAAUUAAUUUCUGUGCAAUCUGAAAAUUUUUUAAAAUUUCUUUUACAAUAUUCAAAUUAAAAAACCCACUAGAUGGGCCAGGCCAUAUCAGGCCCAUUAAAACCAAGGUGUGAAUUUCAAAUCGAACUAUGAAGUAGCCCAAUAGCCCCUUAUAGACUACAAGGCCCAAUGAUAUUAUUAGGCCCACUAAUCGAUUCGGCCCGACCCAUAUCUGAUGUUAAAUUUUAGGAAAAUAAAGCAUACUAAAAUUCAUUCUACUUUUUAAUUGCUAUAAUUUUUUUUUUUCUAAUUUUUUGUUUAUUUAGAGUAUAAUAGUGAAUUUACUACAUGAUUCAGAGCAUGAGGAAGCCAAAGCUUUUCUGGGUAUCAGCAGCAGCUCCUUUAGCUUCUGUGAUCCUCUCCACCACCAUUUCCUUUAUAGUUAAAGCUCAAUACCAUGGAAUCAGUGUAGUAAGUACUUUUCUCCUUUCUUUCUCCUCUCUGUUUUUUAAUGUGCCUUUUUUUCUUAAUUAAUAUUUAAUUUGGUCAAUUUGUAAUCAAGUAUAGAAUAUAUUUCUAAUUGUUUUUAAGUUCUGCUGUGACAGAUUGGGCAUCUGCAAAAAGGAGUGAACCCUCCCUCAGUCAACAUGCUGUUUUUCCAGGGCUCUUUUCUGGGCCUUGCUAUUAAGACAGGAAUUGUCACAGGCAUCUUAGCACUCACUGUAAGGAGACAUAUUCUCUAGACUCAGCACUUUUCUCUUUUUAAGAGCUCUCUCAAGCUAAUGAUAUGACCAAGUGAGAGAAACCUGCUAUGUUCUCUGUAUGCCUGCUUGCUUGGCAUCAAUAAGCAGAAAAAAAAAAUUUAAAAAUUUUGGCUGUCGCGUGAAGCUGAAGAAAAAGUUUAUUAAUCUUAAAUCUUUAUCGUACGUCCAAUUUAAAGCUUCUGCUUCUGAUAAAAGCUAGAUGAAGUUAGUAGUGCUUCCUCAUGCAGCUUUAUCAAACAACACUUCUAUAAAACUUCCUAGUAUGUUGAAAGAUGUACAUUGGGCUUCCCCACGCAGUUUUUUUUAAUAAAAAUUCGAUUACAGGAAGGAAUAGCUGUAGGAAGAACAUUUGCUUCUCUAAAGAACUACCAAAUUGAUGGAAACAAAGAGAUGAUGGCUAUAGGAAUCAUGAACAUGGCUGGGUCUUGUGCUUCAUGCUAUGUUACCACAGGUAAUGCAUAUAAAUAUGUAACUUCGUUUUCCGACAGUAUCCUUAUUUUAUAAUUCUGAUUUUAUCACUGACGAAUUUAUUUUCUUCUUUUUAGGAUCGUUUUCUCGGUCGGCGGUGAACUACAAUGCGGGGUCGAAGACUGCAGUGUCUAACAUAGUGAUGGCGUCUGCCGUCCUCAUCACGAUGCUGUUCCUCAUGCCACUGUUUUAUCACACCCCGAACGUGAUCCUAUCGGCGAUCAUUAUCACCGCGGUGAUCGGUCUCAUCGAUUUCCGUGGGGCUGCGCGGCUGUGGAAGGUCGACAAGCUCGACUUCCUCGCCUGCGUGAGUGCAUUCUUUGGCGUUCUCUUCAUCUCGGUGCAGAUGGGCCUAGCAAUAGCAGUAAGCACUCUCAAUAUAUAUAUAAAUUACAUCUUAAACCCGAAAAAAAAGAAAAGAAAGAUAGUCUAGGAAUAGUCUCAGACAAACCUCUCUAGCAACUGAUAAUUGUAUUAAAAACCUCUAGAGUUGUAAAGUACCAUAAAUGUCAUUGUACUCAUAUUGAAGCACCUGAAAAAAUAUAUGUAUGCUUGUGAUUUUCAUCAAACUAUUGAUGGUAUAUAUGAUAUUUUUGAAUUUCUGAGAGGUAUAUGAUGAGAUUGCGCUAUUUAUUGGCGAGAGAAAAAGGAAAAUGAAGCAACUGUGAAUUAAACAUAAUUGUGUGAUUAACAUUAUACUUUUUAAAUUUUUCUGCAGGUGGGUAUCUCCAUGUUGAAAAUUUUAAUACAUGUGACAAGGCCAAACACAGUGAUUAAGGGGAUAAUCCCAGGGACCCAAAACUAUAGAAACAUAGGGCAUUACAGAGAGGCCAUGAGGGUUCCUUCUGUCCUGAUUCUGGGCAUUGAGUCCCCCAUCUACUUUGCCAAUUCCAUGUAUCUUCAAGAGAGGUGGGUCUCUUUAUAAUGAAGGUCUUGUUAUUACCUUUUUUUUUUCUGUUCCUUUUUUUUUUUCAAGAAACUACAGGUACUUGUUAGGCAAAAAGAACGAUUUCAUAUUAAGUUAUAUAUAGUAGCUGAUUUUUCAAAGAUAUAUUGCGCUAAAAUUUUAAUCACUAUUUUCUUAACUAUAAGCAGGAUAUUGAGAUGGGUGAGAGAGGAAGAAGAGUGGGCCCUGAAGAUGAACCAGAGCUCCAUCAAAUGUGUUGUUUUGGACAUGGGUGGUAAGUGACUACUAUAUAUCAAUAAAAUUUACAACAUUUACGUAGAUUUCGCCUAUAAUCAAUGCCAAACUAAGCUAAUAACAAGGAUUUCAAUCCCACAGCCGUAACGUCGAUCGACACGAGCGGCAUGGACGCACUCACGGAGCUAAAGAAGGCCCUUGACAAAAGAUCUCUCGAGGUACCUGGAAAAAGAAAACUUAAUUUCGAGAUCACGGAUAUGUGUUAGCUAGAGUAAUGCAGAAUAAAUGACACGAUUAUUUGUUUGAUUUGUGCAGUUUGUGCUAGCAAAUCCUGUUGGAAACGUACUCGAAAAGCUCUCUCAAUCAGAGACGUUGGAGAAACUCGGAUCGGAUCGAAUAUACAUGACUGUGGGAGAAGCCGUUUCUGCAGUUUCCUCCACAUACAAAGUCCAGGUGUAGAAAACCAACUAGUGUUGCUCGUCUAACAAUAAAUUUUAACCAAAGCGGAAAAAGAGCUUCUGAGAGAAGCUAGAAGAGUAACAUAGAGGAUUUGUCGCUUAAUAUCUAUAGUCAAGUUACACAGAAAAUUUAUGCAGUUUCCUUUGUAGUUGAGCUCUUCUAAGAAGAGAUUUUUGAUAAAGGAGGAUUAUAGAUAAAAAGAUGCUUUGUAGCCCUUAAGGCAAUGUUAGUUGUUGCUACUUUUCUUAGCGAAGUGUACAAUAAAUUCUCCUUCAACACAUUGUUUUUAAUUUCUUGCUUCAUAGAGAUUUACUUGCUUUGUUUCUACAUCUAUAAUUCAAAUGUCACAACUAUACUCUACUUGCUUGUUUCUACAUCGAUAAUUCAAAUUUCACAACUAUACUCUCCUGCGUAGAAAGUAAUGUUAAAACAUAUAGCUAUCUCUUCCCUCUUAUUUUUCUUUUUUAUUUUUUAUUGGAUCCUCUAUUAUCAUCACAGCAGAAUACGUUAAGCAGCCUUUCCCUACUCGAAAUUCUCUUCUAAAUUUUUCAUACGCAUAUAUCUAAUAACUACAAAGAUCAUCUAAGUAGAACACAAAAUUUACGACCCACUAACACCACCACGAUAUAAAGGAAAACAUACAAGCAAGCACCAACUGGAGAAAUAUAAUCAAUUAGCGAACACACUUAACAGAGGUCAACAUGUUAUUCUAAAAAAUUGUAGGCGCACAAGAGUAGAUGUUCCAAAAGAGUUUGAAGCUUUUACUGUUUAUAUGGGAAAGCCCUCAAGCAUACAUAAGCCAAUAGGCGAAACUGAAAAAACAAGGAGGCAGCAAACAACAUAGAUUGCGACGACGAAGUAACAUUAUUCAUGAGUAGAUGCAUUAGAUUUAAUCAAUUACACUACAAAACAACGAACAGCAUGCACUCAAAACAAACUUUAACUCAGUUCAAUACAAUUUCUAAAUUAUCAAGCAAAAUCCUGAGUAACAAAUUUUAUCAGCCCAAAGAGGCAUCAAAAGCGCACAGAACAAUUUGCCACCAAGGCCAACUUCAUCAGCUUUCCAAGAUCACAAUAAAAAUGGACCGUUCAUCACAUAGCCUUCACAAGUAGCUCCCAAUCGGGAGAGUGAACCAUAAAAACGAACCAAGUUGUUUCCACCUAAUCUUUGCCCCAACCAAAACUAAGGCUGUUCCACACCCUACUGCAUACAUUUUUAUCCUAUAAUUUCUUUCAAAAGAUGAAGAAAGAGUGAGAAGUUCAAAUCAAAACAUACAAGCCCAGGAGGUAAAAUUCCUUUUUUUUCUCUUAACUUCCACUCCAUGCAGAGAAUUGACCUUGAUAACUAAAUUGACUAUUUUUUCGCGCGAAGAUUAAGACAGAAUUACUUUAGCAAACUGUAAAGGGGAAAUAAAAAGAAAGAAAAAAAAAAGACACUUCGGCGAGAGAUUUUGCUGCGCUAUGCUGUGGAGGGAUUGUUGGUGGUAGAUCCCUCGGGUUUGUCGGUCUCCAUUGGCUCGCCAGCUGGCGGGGCUUGGCCGCCUGUCUCGCUGGCCGCACUGUCUCCUUGAGGCGGCUGCUGCUUACUUUCCUGAGGUUGAGCUGCGGGUGGUGCAUCCGAUGGAGGUGGCGUCUGCGGCUUGGCCGGAGGGGGACGUGGCUUUGUCAUUAUCGGCCUGCAAAACCUGUUGAAAACACAAUGGAUUUAGAACUAGUUUAUAGGGGUAGUGCUUGCCAUUUGGAUUAUGAAUCUAUUUAAUUUUGCAUCAAUAUAAAUAUUUUAGUUACUGUUCGAUUGACAAAUUUUCUUGUGAUUUACAAUGGUGGUCCGUUCGGUUCCUCAUUGAAUGCUUUUUGAAUUUUGGUAGAAAAUCGUUUUUCAUAUUUCACGAAAACACUUGUUAACACUUAACGCCUAUUUUCAUUCUCUCCCCCGUGGAGACCAAAAAUGAAACGAAAAUUCUAGCAAACCAAACACAACACCCAAAGACAUUUUACUUUAUGCGAAACCAACUUGAAAAGGAGAAUCCACACUAAGUUAGCUUUUGUUUGGUCCUAUUCUGGUGUGGUUUGCUCUUAUGCAGUACUUUGGCUCAGUCACUUUGUUUAUCAAAAUAUAGAACUAAGGGCUUCUGUUGUCACCAACAAAUUAUAAAACCAUAACAAAAGCAUAGUAGAUCGUACUAAAAAGCACCAAAAUAUGACAAAAACCAUAUCUGCAAUUGUAAUAUGACAAAAUGAAAUUCUCUCUACUUAAUAUAUGAUUAACCAACAAAUAUUACAAAAACAUUUCUCAUGGAUUUGAUGGUCAAUUCAUAAAUUUAAUUAUUUUCAUUACCUGUCAAGUGUUUCGGCUUUCCUCUUCACAUCAGCAGAUCGAAGAAUUGGAGUGGCGUGCUUAGGCAGAGCAUCCUGCUGCUGGUUCUUCUCUCUCAACCAAGCUUCGGCCUCAGAGCACUCAUUGAUGACCUAUAAGUGAAUAUAUAGUUUAAUAGGGGAGUUUACAUAAAAUAUCUGAAAAGAAUAAGAUGGAGAGGCAUUAAUGAAUAUACACUUAAACAGAGUACCUUCUGCUUCUCCUCUAUGUCGAUGUGCUCAAAUUUGGGAUCUUUAGACAGGGCCGCCUCCCUGAAGCUAUUAAUACAAUAAGCGAGUUGGUCUAUGGCCGGGCCCCUCUCUGUCCACUCUUUAUGGCGAUCUUCAAUAGGGUCACCUUGCUGCACUUUGAAAUCCUAGUUAGCUAUAUAUCCACUUAUAGGGCAAAGCCAAUAAGGGGCCAGUGCAAACAAGUGAAACUGAGUAAUAUGCCAGAAGUUGGUAUUUGCAUGUGCCCCACAAAAACUGUAUUUAUUCACAUUCAGGGCCCUGCCAGAUUUUUUUUCUUUUUCUUUUUCUUUUUUUUUUUAGCAUAUUGCCUUGGCACAUACUAAUGAGCAAGGUUUUCGCAGGCACAUAUGAAAGUACCAACUUUGCACAAGAAUGAGCAAUUUCACAUAUUUAUAGGGGUAUAUAUGCCCAAGGAAACCCAAAAGACUGUAGCACAGAUAGCGAAACUGUACCUUUUUGAGUUCCUCAAGCUUGGCAACAUAAACACCCUUUGUUUCAUCCUCUCCAUCUUCAUAGAGCCAAUCCUCAACUUCCUGAAGCUUUGAUAUGAACUGUUCCUUCUCCGGUGCUGUCACGAAAUCGUUGUACUUGUCAUAAAGCUAACACAAAACAAGAAAAUACCCAGAUCAGAUCAAGUUCAAUGCUAUAGUACAGGGUAAAAUAGGUGAAAUAACUAAAUAAUAAAGAGACCUAUACAUAUAUAACCAUGUGAGGUUAUCAAGUUACGCAUACAUCCUGCACGUACUUAAUUGGCAAGUGCUCCUCUUUAAAUUUCCUUUUUUCUUAAUCAAAAACCAGCUUUCAGAUGGCACAUACGAAAAUCCAGAGUUUUACAGGGCCAUAUGUGAAGAGAAAUAAUUAUGCACGUAUAUAUACAUAUACAUGUUUAAAAGUCCCCAUUUAAUAAAGGGUUCAGAAAUGAAUGGCACCUUAUUUCGCAUAUCAUAAACAUAAGCCUCCACAGCAUUCUUCUUGUCCUUGGUCUCUUCCAUUACUCGAUCUUGAAGGGCCAUUUCAAAUUCCUUUUCCACGGCCUUUUGAACAUCUUCAGCAGCCAUUCCACCAUAAACUAUUUCAGAUAUAGGCACAUUUGUUUUCCUUACCUUCUUCUUUGGAAGCUCAACCUGCACGACAAAUAAAAUCAUCAGUAACGGUGCUUGUUUUCAUGAGAAAUAUUUGGAUUGCAAUAUUUAUCUUUACACAAAAACUCUUCAUCAAUAACUAUAAACUCCUUCCCAGCUUUUCAAACAUCAGAUUACAGAGAAGUGAUAAGCCAACUAAAACCUACAUAUACUCGCAUACGUAGAGGUGCAACAUACCUUUUCACAUAUAUACUCCUGCAAAAUCCGAAUUUCUCAAUAUACCCUUCCAAAACUCUAUUUCUUACAUGUACACUUCUAUACUUGCAGAAAGCGACCUUCUUUGAAAACAACUCACCCGCAUUACUUCUUUUUUAUUAUUAUAUUGUUUUCUUUUUUUUGAGGGGGAGGUUUACAAACUCCAUUUCUGAGGUCAUAAAUAAAAAUUCAAAACUUCAAAGGGUAAGUAUGUAAACAGAUCAUUUUGCAGGAGUACAUAAUAAUGACCCCUAACCUACAACAGCAAUGACAAGCAGAGGUAUCGAUGAACACACCUUGGCAUCAGUUUCCAUUCGCGCAGGCUUUUCUUCAGGAUCCGCUGCACCAUUUUCUGUCCCGUUAGCACUAUCAUCUGGAAUACUCUUAUCUUCCUGCAUGUUUAUGUCAGUCCCUGCAGUAGAGUCUUGAGGUGUAUCAUCAGUAUCCAUUUUUGUAGCUUCCUUUGGCUGGUCAUUCACAGCUGAUACUGGAACUUCAACUUCCUCUUCCAGCAUCUGUAAAAACCCAAAAAUAAAAAAUAUAUAAAAUAAAAUAAAACAUUCAGAGCACUCAUUCAAGGACGCAAGUGCUGGACUAUCUAAUUUCACCUACUUAUAUAAUAUCCUACCUGCAAACUGUCAAGCUGAUUAUUUGUAUACCCAUAAACUCAGAAUUUCCCAUAUAUUCAAAAACUUAAUUUCUGAUAUGUAUAUGGUACACGCAUUAACUUUCAGAAGUAUUCCUCUUUGAAAAAAAAAAUUCAUAUACAAAACUACCUCCAACUCUAGCAGAACAAGGGACAAAGGUAUAAAUGAAACUUCAGAUUUUACACUUACAUAUACAUGAGAAAAUAAAUAAGCAGGGAUAUACAUGUAACCCAUAGUUUCUGAAAUCCGCACUUACAGUUGCUGACUCGAUAGAAACAAUGCCAUGAAGAUUCAAACGAACUUUGACUUUCAGUUUAGCCUUUCCACCCUUAGAUUGAAAUGGACCAAUCUGUACAGAGUAAACAUGGAAUAAGUAAUCAGCAACUCGAUAACAUAUCAUGGACAUCAAUGUGAUAUAGCAUUAGUGUUCAUACAAAUAGAGGAAAUUCUUGGUGCUUACUGUGUAUGUGCUGAUCUUUAAUGGAUGACCCUCAAGAUCAGCAUACAUGACAUCAACAGAAAAAGUGCUAGACCUAUAGAAUGUAAGGGCUUUGACACUAGGAAUUGGAUUCCAUUUGGGGAAUACAACUGUACUCUGCUGGUUCUCCGUUGCUCCACUCUGAGAAUCUGGGGCAGAUCCUUUCCACGAUAAGGCAAUUGGGAAAGGAAAGCUAUCUAGGACCUGCAAAAUACAGGGGGAAAAAGAUUAUAAUAAUAAACAAAGAAGAAAGGUAGUUCACAAUACUUUGAUAUAGUGAUAUAGAUAUAUCACUAUGCAAUAUCAUCUUAAUUUUAAUCUAUGCCACAAUAAAAAUAUGAAUUCAAUAUUGUCCUUCACAUCUCUAUUUAUAACAUAUAUACCCUUAUACUUUGUUCUUACAACAUUUUCUCUCCCUAAAAAGACGUUCUAAUAUAAAACCAAUUACCUGCACACACUGGAUGAUUCCCAAAUUAAGAUAAGGUUAUUUUCACGAACUACAAUGGCAUCCAGAUUCUACGGUAUAGACAUGUAAUUAGAUGAUUUUGCAAGGAUCUAUAUGGCAUAUUAAGCAAAACUAUGUCAUGCUAUUAGUCAUAUAGAGGAAACAUAAGAUCCAUGGGCUAGAAAUAGACAUAGAAUGUUUAUGAAGAAAAAUGCCCGAACAAAAUUCUCCAAAUGUUCUAGAGUCUAACAUGCUUCAAAGACGACAGGCACAAAUCAGAAUACUCGACAAUAUCAAAUCCCACUUUACAAGUCAAUGGUGCUUUCCAGAUUAAACACAAAAACAAUGUGUAGCCCUGCACUUUGCAGAUCAAGAACGAAACAAUAUGCUAAUAGGGACAAUCCUCACAAAGGAGAAGGCCAAAUUCAUUCGAUAUUCUUAUUAUCCUUAUCAUUAAGAAGUUAUCAUGAUAAGAGAAAGAAAAGGACUGCGAACCAUACCCAGUGUGUGCAGACAACAAAGAAACCAACAUUUUAUGUUCCAAAUGACAUGGACUUCUUUAAAGUCGUAUUAAAGCAAUAUAACCAAAAGGCCAAAAAUCGAAAAUAUGGAAUGGAAAAGGAACAAAUAUAUAAAACUUAUUAAAUGAUGAAAUGCAGGAGUUCACACCUGGAACUCCCGAACUCUGAAUGUAGGACUAAGCAUGGCACACUGAAGAGCGCAUCCCCUGGCAACACUUUCACUUGCGUUCAUCGUACGCCUUGGCUCUUUUCCGAAGAACUCCGUCAAUAUCUUCAUAAUUGCCGGAACACGUGACCCAGAUCCCACAACCUCCACCGAAUGAACAUCCUGCACACUCAGCCCUGCUUCCUUAAUCGCCCUCUCCAAUGGCCCCUUCACCCUCUCCAAUAUCGGUGCACUUAUCUUCUCAAACUCCUCCCUCUUAAUAAACCCCUUCACAUCCUUCUCGUCCAUCAAGCACUCUAUACUUAGCGGUGCCUCAGGAUUCGCACUCAGCACCUUCUUCAGCUUCUCACAUGCCACGCGGAGCCGCAAACAAGCACGCGCAUUCUGAUACACGUCGAUCUUGUACUGCUCUUUGAACUUGGCCGCAAAAUGCUUAAAAAGGGCCUCAUCAAAAUCGCGCCCGCCAAGUGAUCUAUCAUAUGCAUGAGAGAGGAUCUUAAGCUGACCUUUCUUAAAGGCCGCAAUGCAGACCUGCAUGCUCGCAUGCCCGACAUCGACGAACGCCACAUUCAACUGAUCGUUCUCCGGAAGGUCGGUUUUGUAAAUGCCAUAGGCCAACGCUGUAGCGGUGGUCUCAUGAAACAACCGAAGGGGAUGCAACCCUGCAAUGGUGGCCGCAUCCAUCACAGCCCUCCGUUGGAGGUCGGUGAAGUAAACGGGAAUUCCGAUACAGCAAUCGACGACCGGCGCGCCGAGAUUCUUCUCAGCGAUGCCCUUCAGGUUGGAGAGCACCAUGGCCAAAAUCUGGGUCGGGGUGAAGGCCCUCUGCUCGCCGAGGUACGACACGUGGACCAACGGGAACCCGUCGGGGCCCUCGGUCACCUUGAAGGGUAAAGUUUCUAGGUCGCGCUGGAGCUCGGGAUCGGAGAAUUUUCGCCCUACAAGGCGCUUGAUCUGGGAGAUGGAGUUCUUAGGGUUCAUGGUGGAGGAGGCGGCGCCAGUGGCGCCGAUGAACCGCUGCUUGUCGCCGAAGCACACGACGACGGGGGUCUCGCGCUUCGACUCCUCGUUGAGCACCACGUCGAUCCCGCGCUGGCGCGCCACCGCCACAAUCCCGCUCUCGUUCCCCACAUCGAAUCCCACCACGCUCAUCUUCUCCAAGGUAGCGAAUCACUCCCUCCCACGCUUCAAACAACGAGAUCUGUGCCCAUCAAUGCAUCAAAACAACAAAAAAUGGGAGAAAAUUCAGCUCGAAUGCAUCGAAAACAUAAAUUGAAGCCCGAUUACGACGACAAUAGCAGCGAUGAGAGAUCGAACGACGAUUAUCCACGGUGUUACGCCCGUAGAUCGAUCGAAUUAGAUCAAAAUUUAGCUCUUAAGGAGGCGAAACGAUGAGAUCGAAGAAGAAUAAAGAGGAUUCAUACCCUUUAGAUGCCGCAGAGAUUUGAUCUGCAGGGCAGUUCCCGAACUAUACUUGUGAGAACAGCUCUCUCGAUCGAAUGGGUUCUACCUCCGUCCCUCUCUCUCGAAACGUCUCGGGCUUUUCCGUUUAUGAACAAACAAAGGCGAAGAAGCGAGAAGGGCGGUAGAAAUAGUGCGCCGAGGCUUAUAGCUUUUUCUAGAACCCUCCAUCAAAGUCUGAGGAGAAGUUGUUUCCUGCACCUGGUAUAUAUAUUUCUUACACCAUUCCAUGAAAAUUCUUUCGUAGAGCCUUUGUAACAUUUAAAAAUUACAAAUUGUAUCCCGCGACCCUGGAGUGAGAGACCCUACAAGUCAUUUGAUUUGGCGACAUAAAACCCCUAUUAAAAUAAAAGUUUUCAUCUGAUUACUACUUUGAAAGAGACUUCUAAUUGUUGACUGUCUGCGUAAACGUGGCGUACUAGUGGACUAACAUUUUAUUUUUUUACCCUUUCGAUAUGGAAAAAUGUGACCAUCUUUUUAGUCGCUGUGUAUUUGUUCGAUAUUUAUUUCUUAGUGGAGAAAGCUUGUCCAUUUACACUGAGCCAAUGGAGGAAGUUCAAGGUCUUUGAAAAAUGGUUAUUAAUCUAGCCGACACUGGAAAGAGAACUAAAAGCUUAACCCUCUUGUUGGCUGUCUGGUGGGUAGUCUGGAUUGAGACGAACAAUUUUAUCUUUCACGAGCAAUCCACGGUUCCUUCUCUCUCGCUGAACCGUGUCAAACGUUUGUUAUCCGAGUGAAACAAGCCCUCUACUGUUUACUUACUCUUCUCUCUAGUCUCUUUAUCUUAAGUCCCUUUUCCUUUUUUUUUCCUUGCCUUCUAUUUCACUUCUUUUUUUUUUUUUUUAUUUUUGGUUUUUUUUUUUUUUGUGCUGAAGCUGUGGUUAAAAAUGUGAUCGGAUAUAUGGUCGUAUUCUUGUACUUCUAUAUAUUCACUGUGAAUUAAUGCAUAUAUAUAUCAGUGCUUAAUUAUAACUGUUUAUUUAUUAAAAUUGUUGAUUCUAUUGAUAUAAGCGGGCGAAAUUUGUAGUGCGGUGUAUGAUUUAGGAUUGAGCCGGCCUGCUUGGUUGGUGUUGAGCUCAUUGUAAUGUAUGGGCGUUUUGGUACCUUAAUCUUUAGUUGACUGGUGAGUUGAAUUUUGGCANAGGAUGAUAUAGGAUGUAUUUUUCACGAGCUCUACGAUGAAUAGGGGUGUAAUGUGGGCUGUGCCGGGCCGGCACGGCCCACAUUUUCCGGGCCGAACCGGGCUGGAGAGUGGCCCGGCCCGGCCCGUGGCUAAAUCCGGGCCGGGCCGUGCCGGGCCCGAACUCCCUACCAUCCGGCCCAGUACGGCCCCUGGGCACGGAAGGCACGGGCCGUGCCUGGCCGGGUCGUGCUCCGGGCCGGCUCCUUUUUUUAUUUUUUUAAAAAUGUACAUAUAAUUUAAAAAAAUAUAAACAAUAAAUUAUAUUUAUAUAAACUGAUAUUUUGAUUAAAAAAUUUAAAAUUUAUAAAAAUAAUUACAAAAAAUAAAUAUUUAAAUUUAUUUAAUAUAUUUUUGAAUUCUUUUUUUGAAAAAAAAAAAGUUGAGAAGGGUUUUUGGUCCAAUGGACAAAAUUGCUUUGGUCCAUUGGACCAAAAUCACUCCUCCCAAGGUCUGCUAGGCAGACCUUGGGAGGAGGGCCAAGCCCUCCGCCCAAGGAGAGCAAACCCCAGGGCCAAGGCAACUUUGCCUUGGGCCUGGGUUCCAGGCCGUGCUGGCCCGGCUGGCAUGGCCCAACUGGGGCGUGCCGUGUCGGGCUGCCCGCCUCUCCUUGCCGGGCACGGCCCGCAGCCGUACCAGGCAGGGCGGGCCACGUGCCGCCCGGCCUGUUUUACACCCCUACAAGUGGGGCCCACCUUUUGCGGGUUCCACGUGACAUAUUCACGUAAAAGUAAGACCUUAUAUUUCUGCACCCGGCGUAUAAAUAUAUCUCGCAUCCUUAGAUUGAUUAUACGAUAGGGAUUACGAAAUUAUCGGAUGUGUUUAUAAUAUUAAAAAUCCUAAAGAUUAAAAAAACAUAUAUUUUGAAUUUUAAAAUAUCAAUCACCAAAAAAUGAGCACGGUGCAUUAGCCAUACGAAUACACUGAGUGCAGGCAAUAAUUUCUUGAUUAAGCUAUUUGUUACGGGAUUAAGCGAAUCAUAGCCGUAUACUACUCUGGUUGUAUGGGAAACGGACGGUGGAGAUGGGAUGAUCGGGAGCGGUGGCUGUUCGAGUCGUACGGCCCGUUGUGGAAGGUUCUCGAGGCCUUGGAUAUGAUUCCAGAGGGGUCCAUAUUAAAAUGUAAUUAAUUAAUUAAUUAACUACGAUUAAUUGUAAUAAGAUUAUUAUUUGUGUAAAUGGUGCUUGAUUAAAGAAAUUUGGUAAUUUAGUGCUUUUUGUGUGUGGGCGUGGAUGUUCAUGUUAAACAAAUUUGGAUUUGUUUAACAUAUUCAUGUUAAAUGAUUAUCUCCGUGCAUUAUACUCUAUGUGAGAAGACAAAAGAUACGAACAUCCUCCCAAUGUAACUCAUAUUUAUGUCUCUAAGCUUUAAAACUCGCUAAUUUGAAGACUCAACAAACAUUUUGGUAUGUUCAAAUUAAAAUAAUAAUAAUAAUAGGAUUUGUAGUUAAGCUAUAGAAGUCGUUUAAUUUUUCAAGGAACUUUCUCGUGUCAAAUAAUGGAUUAUUUGGAAAAUUCAAACCCAAAAGUCCAGAAACCUGUUUUCUAAACGACAAAUUAUCAAUGCCUAAUUUUCAGCUAUUUGAAAAUUGGUCCUUUCUCUCUAAAAAAAAAAAACAGAGGUCCUAAACAGAUCCCUUGAUAAGCGUGUUAUUGGGUAUGAAAAAUUAAAUAAGAUUUGAAUGUAAAAGGGGGAAAAAAAAGUUCAUUCUUUUAGAUUUUUCUAAGUUGGAAUGCAAGUUUAUAAUUUGGAUACUAACUAACGAGGAAAUUAAGUUGUGGAAAAUUAAGUUGACUACUAUUUCAAACAAUUCCUGUAUGAUUAUUAAAAUUUUUCUCUUUUUGUUUUUUUAAAAAUUUAUUCAUAGAGUGCAACUUAGUUGAAGAGUUUCUAUCCAAUACAUUACGUAAAAUAGAGUGAAAAAAAGAAUGCCCAAUUAAUACAACAUUAGAAAGAUAUAUUAAUAUGGUUUUUUUUUUUUGCAUGUGGAAUUAAAGUUGUUUAUCGUACCAACAUGUUUACUAAUCAAACUUUACAUCAACGGUGUUCAUAUUUAUUAAAUCAUUGAUACAACAAAUUCACUUGGGUAGAGAACGAAGGAGAUGAAUGAAUAGGCCCCUCAUACGCUACGUUACAAGAGCAAUACACGAGCAAUACAUACACAAUUUCACGUCCAAAUCAAGUAUUGAUAACACUAAUGAACGAAGUAGGUGAUGAGGAGAGCAACAAGCAUGAGCACGUAAGCAAUCCCCUGAUCAAUCACCUUGGCAUCGAUCCGAUGCAAUACCGCCCCGCCUGCCGACUCCGAGUGGCCGUGCGCGAGCUGCGUCAAUCCCGAGAUGAACGCAAUUGCGAAGAACAGCGCGCACGCCCUCGUCGAACUCAUACUCCGAUCCCUCGAGAAUUACUUGCAAGGCUUAUAGUGUAGCUAGCUUUAGUGAGAGAGUUAAUGGAGGUGAAGGGCUUAGAACUCAGAAAUGGUUUGUGUGGUUGUUGUUGUUGUUGUUGUUGUUGUUGUUGUUGUUGCGGUAGGUGCGUAGGGGGUGUAUUUAUAGUAAUAGUUUGAUUAUUUUUCUUAUUAUUUUAUGGUUUAGUUUUUUUAAUAAUUUUUAGGGGAGAUGGUUUGGAGUAAGAGUGGGGGAUACGAACUAGGGAGCCGGCCGUUGACCGGAGGAACGCGGAGGGGGCGGGAAGGGGGAAGGGCACGUGCCGCGCGUGCGAGGAUGGUUCCAAGAAUUAGGGUUUCCGCGUAACGGUCAAAUUAGGCGACGAAGGGACGAAGAAACAAAGGGCAGGCCCUUUGCCGUUAGAUCUCGGUGUUUAAUACGUGGGAUGAAUAUGAAAGAUGAGCCCACACCUGCUCUUUGCUGCUUAAUUAUCAUCUGAUUCUCGUUCUUAUUAUUGAAUUUUAAGCUAAAAUUACAAAAAUUAAUAUUCUCCUAUCAAAACCUACUUUUUUUUAUUUUUGUUGUCAUUUAAAAAUCAACAUUUUGUCCAUUUAAAAAAUAAAAAAUAUUCACUUCUGACCCGUCAUUAAUAUUAUGUUAGAAUUCCGUUUCUAUACUGAAAAUACUCUUCUAUCCCUCAUUUCAUAGCGCCGCCUCCUUCCUUGGUCUUUGCCGAUGACGUCUUGGCUGUGCCGCCUUGCCCUUCUCUGCCAAGUCGCCCUCGUCCAUCCCUCCUUUCUACGCCUACAUUUAUGCCCUCGCUUUUGGUCGGAAAGAAGAUGAAAAGAGAGAGGAUAUUUAAUAUUUUGGUCAUUUUAUCAAUAUAGUUAAUAUUGUACCUUCGUGAAUAUUUUUUAUUUUUUAAUAAUGCAAAAUAUAAAUUUUUAAAUAAUAGGAAAGAAAAGUAAAAAAUUAAAUUUUGAUGGAGAGAUUUUCUAGUCUGAAUUUUACUUUGCAUGAAAUUUAAUCACCGUGGAAUGAGACCAUUAAAAGAUUCUUAAAAUUUUAUUUUUGUAAUUUUAAAGGUUUAAUCUAUAAUUCUUAAGAUGCGAUUUAGAACUUUCAAAAAUUGUAUAUAGUUAAAAAAAAAACUAAAAAUUACACGCUUUUAGAUUAUUAAUUUCUUACGUAACAAACAACAAUCUUGACUUUUGUAUUAUAGAUUUCAACAUAUUUUUCAAUGAGUUUAAGAUUCGAAUAAGAUUUGAAUUUAUAGCCUCCUAUUUUAAUACCACAUGAAACUACUAAUUUUUCUAAUAGAUUAAGCACAACUGCAUAUUUUUUAUAUUCAACAACGAAAGUAUAAAAAAAAAGAAAAAAAAGAAAAAAAGGGAAAGAUUACUACGUGGUUUACCGAUAAUGUGGUGGACUUGGUCCAGGCAAAUAUUCUCCAAAUCCAGGCCGGGUUACGGCCCCAUCAUAGUAUCCUAGGAAUUAGACCGAGCCCAGUUUGGGAUGGGCCUAUUAACGGUCCAACGCUCACGAAGCCUAAUAACAGGAUAUUAAACACAGUACGGUACAGCCCACGAUCCAUCUCAUCAAACGUAUUACACAAAUACUCCUAUAGAUGUCCCUAUGCAAUGUCCCAUCCUACCGUCCAUCUCCUCAACGUCACGAUCUUCCCCGCGGUAACGAACGGACAGGAUGUCUCAAAUUUACUGGUACGGGAACCCGCAUAGAAAAAUUCUGUACGUUCGGCUUCCUCCGAUGGAUCUCGUAUUCCCGUCUCUCACAGCUUCACCUUCUCUCUCUCAGAUCACGUGAUAGCACGUGCGUCGCGGACGUGCCCCAAACUCGACCAAAAUUUCUCACCGCCUCGCCCCAAAACUGAAGACGAGGUCGGGAUCUCUCUCUCUCUCUCUCUCUCUCUCUCUCUCUCUCUCUCCAUCCAUCAACGGCGACAGGUAACUCCUUUACUCCCUCCCAAACUCGGUGCGUAGAUUUCGAUUGUUUAAUCUGUAAACGAACCAUGGAUUACUGUAGAAGCAGGAUCAAAUUGAGCUUUUAAGCUCACGAGGAUCGUGUUUGAUGCUAAUAUACUAAUUUAUUGGCUAAUCACUUGAUCGGAGAUUCAUCUGUUGUGCAUCAUGAUGAUUUCGUAGUGAUUCGUUGCUUGGAUAAUGAUCUAAUGGGUGGUCUUUGAUGUAUGCACAUGAAGAAGAUUAAUUUGGUUUAAAUUUGGAUUUGCAUGGUGGAAUAAUCGCAAAUUUGGAUUCAAAUGGAACUAACAAGUGGAAAAUGGACGUGUUCAAUUGUGAUUGCUAUGAGCUUUAUGAAUUAAAUGAAGUUUGAAGAGCUAGGUUGCACUCUGGACUGGAACCGAAACAUGUACAGUUCUGUAGUUAACAUUAUCUUCUACUGCUAAGAUGGUCUUUUACGAUUCCAUGAUCAUCAGGAGAAGUCUUGCAGUUGACAUUCAAAUUUUAGCGUGCUUGUUGCAUGUGUGUAUAUAUGUAGUUAUGUACACACUCAAUUUAUGGUUCAACAGUAGAACACUAGCAAACAUAACAAAUUAAUUGUUGCAGGUGAAGCAAAUAAAAGCUAUGUCUAAACCUCGUGAGAUUGGAGAUGGCCUUGCUGUGCUGCAGUUACAAAAGUGGCAUUGGUUGCCGUUUCAACUUGAGAUAUCGGAAUUUUCUGAAGCUUUUAUAUCCCCAACAAGGCAGCUACUUUUGUUGCUUUCACACCAGUUUGAAGCCAUGUUACUUUCUCUUACUCCAGGUGUUUCUUUGGUUGAAAAUAUCUCUUUCUCUGUUUCUCUCUGCUAUCCUUCCUGUUACUGAUUUUGAUCUGUGUCGACUCAGGGCGGUUUUCUUUAGAAGCUCAAGAGUCAUGCUCAUCAGAGUUUUCAGAAGGCAAUACAAGCACUAAACAACCUUCAGAAACCAACUCAUAUACUGUUAGUUCUGAUAGAUUUCAAUUUUCAGCAUUUGAGUGUUGUCCUGUUAUUUCCGGCGUGAAGUCUUUGGCUUGGGGCCACUGUGGCGAUGCUUACAGUCAAGUUGAGGAGUCUGGUUUUAGUGAACUUCUCAUUGUGUCAGGCAAUAACAGCAUUGUAAUUCACGCUUUCCGUCGUCUUGAUAAAAACACACCAAAGGCUGAAUCGAAGCUAAAAGAUGGAGAAAUGCGUGGGAAGUGGGUAGAUUGGGGCCCAUCUCAAGAUACAAAGUUGUCUAAUCCUAGUCAGAAAAAAUAUUUUCGUACUUUCGUCACAGAAAUCAGUGCGAGUGUUUCUAAUGGUGAUUAUUUAGCUAGAUUUCCUCCAUCAUCGUUAUUCCCUGAUUUUGCAGAGGUUGUAUCAUUUAGCAUUUAUAAUAGUAUUUUGUCAUUUUUGGAAUUCUGUGCUGGCACUGAUCCUCCAGUUGGGAAUAGGAAAACUGAAAGUGCUGAGUGUUCAAGAGUGUUUGCUAGUUCAUCACAUCGUUUUAUUGGCUUGGUUCUGACUCUUCGAGAAGAUGUUUUAAUAAACAGUGAUGAUAAUCUAAACAAUUCAAGCAAAAAUUUGGUGGUGGUUAUGAAGCUAUACCAGUGGGGUGUGAAGUGGCUAUUUUCGGUAAAUCUGCAGGAUCUCUAUCCUGGUAGUCCCAGUUCAGAGUGGGUGGAUUAUCAGUUUUCAGACAAUUUUCUCAUUUGUCUUAAUACCUCCGGUUUGAUCUGUAUUUGUGAUGUAAAUUCUGGUAGCACUGUCUCUUGUUUUGAUGCUUCACAGAACUGUAUAGUUCCUGCUUACCCUAGAAAGUUUAAGAGAUUAAUUGUGGCUUCCUACUAUCCUCUACUAGCUAUUGUCGAUGAACAUGGAGUAAUCUAUGUACUUAGUGCUGAUGACAUAAUACCUGGAAACCAUCCUUUGCUUCAUAAAUCUCCAUCCACUUUUACCCAUUCCAACUGUGGCAUAUUAGCUUUUUGGAAGGUUGCUGGUCAUGAGAUAGGUGGAACUAAACAAUAUAUUCAGAGUAAAGAAAGCCAACCAGAUGACUUUAUAAGCGGUUUUACUGGUGGAUCACAUCUAAAAGAUGGGAGAAAUUCACUUUCUGGGUCUGAAAGAGCUUAUAAUCCUUUACGUAGAGUAUUUCUACCUUUGUAUAGAACAAAUACGGAUCAAAUGAUUUGCCUUUCACCCUUUGGAAUCACUAGAUUUGUCAAAAGCUGCAAUAAAAUAGUUCACACUGAGCUGCGUGUGACUACAUCUGUUCUUGAUGACGGAGACUUGGGUGCCAGCUGGCAGUCCAAAAAGUGCUUUCCAGAGUCUGCUGCUCUCGGAGAAUCAAUUGGAUGUUCUUUUCAGGGAUGUCUGUAUUUGAUUACCAAAGAUGGGCUCUCUGUUACUCUUCCAUCAGUUCCAAUUUCAUCAAGUGCUUUCCCAGAAGCCGUCAGAUAUUGGCAACCAAAUAUAGCUUCCGACAAUGCAAAAGAGGCUAAGAAUUUGGUGUCGGUAAAGGAAUCUGCAGAAACGUGGAGGCCUUGGCAAAUAGAGGUUUUGGAUAGAGUGCUGUUGUAUGAAGGUCCUGAAGAAGCUGAUCGCCUUUGUCAGGAGAAUGGUUAGUUUAAGCCCCAUUCAAAAUUAUUUGCUAAUUUUCUUCUCUCUUCCUGCUUUAAUUUGCUACUUAUUGUUGGAGUUCAUUUUGCUUGAAAAGAACAGAAGCUAUUUAUGGGUACCGAACAAUGGAAAUAGCACUUCGAAUCAUCCUUAAUUGAUUAUGUCCUAGCACUAGGGCUACAGAUUUUUUUUUUUUUUUUCCCUUUUGAAAAACCUUUUGUUGUUGGUAUUUCAGAAAAUGUUUCCGGCAAUUAGGAGUAAAGUUAUCUCCAUAUAAUUAUGCAAUCAGAAGUAAUCAGAGCUAAUCUUCUUAUCUAAUCCUAACAAAAUAUACGUGAUGAACAGAAUGCUUGCCCCAUACCAUUUUGUCCGGAGAUGAGUCUUAGCAUUAGGGAACAACAUAUGCUUUCUAAAACAGGUUGAACUCUUGUUUGAACUUUGAAGUGUUUUUCUCAAUUAGUUGGGACUUGGGAGGGAGUAACACAGUUCAAUGUUCUUAGUGAUGUAGUUCUUCUGGGCUAGGUAUAGAUCCCACAACACAAUAGGGAUGUUGUUUGAUGUUGAAACAGUCUCUCUCUAAUUAACUCUACUUAUAAUAGGGAUUUUUGUAUAUCUUAUCUUUUAGGUUUAUAUUGUAUUUAUUUUUCUUGAGCGUGCUUAUUGCUCACUAUUACCUGCCAUUAUGACCUUGAAAAGGGGGUUUGUGAGAGGUAUCUUGAAGACAAACGGGAACUUUUUAUUGAGAGGUAAAACAACUACAAUACAAAUUCCGUUAGUCCAAUGAUUGGGUAAUACGGCUUCAUAUUAGCAGUAAAUGCUGAUUUUUAAUCUAUUAGAUGAUUUUGGAGUUGCUAUUGACGUCUAACAUGUGAAUUACAUUUUUGGGAUGUUUCCCCAUAUUUGUAGGGUACAUGUUGUGCUAAUGUUUAUACAUUUGAAUUUUUGUAACUUGGGUCUUAGAUUUUUCAAUUAAAUAGAUUAGUUCUUGAUCUCACCUUAUUUUCUUGAUUUUGCACCUCUGUUCGUUAUAGUUUCCCGUCCGAAUAGCCUAGAGUCCAUUAGAACAGAUAUCUGAUGAUUAAUCAGAAUGAUGAUUUUUCACAUCAUAUACUAGGUAAUUUGGGUUACAGUGAGUAAAGAUGCCAAAUAUUUUUGGAAUAAAAAGGAAUAAGAAUGAAAAUGCAAUAAUCGGGUAAGAUGAAAGAAUAAGCUAUUUUAGGUAGAAAAUACGGGCAACGGGGAUCACAUUGCAGUAAAUGAAAAAAUUGGAAGCUACCCACACAUUUACCUGUUAAAUGUAUUCAUUCAUAUACCAUUGACGCAAGUGCAUCAGAGCUAACUAGUUGAGUGAAAUUUUAACCUAGCUAUUAUCACUGCAUAGUUGUGAUUACAUGCUUUCUAGAAGCUAAUAUGGAUAGUUAAUAUAAUGGCAGGAUGGAGCCUCAAAAUUGCUAGGAUCCGUCAGAUGCAGUUGGCGUUGCAGUACUUAAAAUCUGAUGAAAUAGAACAGUAAGAUGUUUUCUUACGCCUUUUGAUUUUUACAGCUUUCUUAUCUGAAAAGCAUAAACCUUUAACUUCCAUCUACGGAAUUUUAAUUAAUCAUUUUUAUUUGUAGGUGAUAUUGUAGUUUCUUCUUGUGGAAAAUUCUGUCAUCAUGUUCUUUCAGCUUGAAUUGUAUUAACCAAUAAGACUUUUAUGCUAGCUUUUCUGGGUUUCAAAACUCUCUUUAGGAAAUGAUUGUUUGCUAAAUGUCUGCGAUAGAGGUCUAGAAAGAGCAUGUCCCAUUUAAUAACUCUGAUUUCUCACGCUAGCACUAACAUUCUACAUUCCUUUAAAAAGAGAACUUCUUUAUAAGCUGUUUGGCAGGUAGUGAUUGUACUUAAUGUUGAAGAGAAAAAAAAUCCCAACAAAUUUUACGUUCAUUCCCUUCCGUUAUAUGUUACUUGUAAGCUGUGUUAUCUACCAAUUGUCCUUUGUUUUAGUUUUUCCUUUAAAUCAACAAACAUCCUAAAAUUUUGCAACAUCUGAGAGACAAGUAACAUGCAGGGUUAGGGGGUUAUUUGUAACAGGCAAAGUGCAUGGGCGGUUUGUGUAGUUUAGCCUUAAAGGCUAAAACUGAAUUGUCAAAACAUAACACAGUAUGUUGAAUUAGUUAGCAUUUUUGUUCGGAUGCACGAACUUUUACUGGUCGGUUGUCUUAUCUAAGAAUAGAUUAGUAAGCAACAUAUUUGCCAAUUAACCAUUUCAUCUUGUGAUAAUUCUUCAACGGUAGAAUUGAUUGUGUUUGGUUACUGACUGUGGUCAAAUUGUAGAUCCCAUGACCGUAAAGAAUGUCUGAUGGCAUCUUUAAAUAUGACUGUGGUCAUAUUGUAGAUCCACCUGACCAUGAAGAAUGUAUGACUGCAUUUCUAAAUACGAUUUGGUUUGGGAUGAUCUAAGCUUUUGUUUGUUUUUUGAAUCUAUGGGAUCGAUGGAUAAACAGAUGUUUGAAUAUGCUUGUGGACAUCAAUCUAGCUGAGGAAGGCGUCUUGAGACUUUUAUUUACUUCUGUCUAUCAGAUCUUUUGCAGAACUGGAAGUGAAAAUGAAGUUGCUGUCGCAUCAAGGUAUAUUUUCUUCACAUGACAAAUGUGUCUAUUUUAUCAUCAGAAACAAGUACUAAGGAAUUAAAGGGUUUCUUUUUUCGAUAAAAACUGUUUGUUUUUGUUGUAUAUAGUUAGUUUCGAGCUUUGUGACCUAUGACAUAUAUGUCAUAAUUAUUGUACAAUGUUUUGCUAAGUGGUAUCAAUGGGCCAUUGGAUAUGAAAACGACUUGUUAUUUUUUGGUUGAUAUACAAAAGCAAGGAAAACAUAUAAUACUAUGGACUUCUUCGAAAUAUGAACUUGCUCUCUUGUCUUACCUUCUUCUACAUGUCCUUACUGAGCAUAUAUUUUGGGAAGAUAAAAUUAAUCAACAACGAAAACUUACCAAGUUUAGUUUCUUCAUGUAGAUCUUUCUUGAAAUGCUGUUGUUCUUUUUUAAUUAUUUCCUCUACAAGUUUUGGUAAAAGGAACGGCGACCAUAAACAUUCAUUUGUGUUGGAGGUGGGUUCCUGUAGGCGGAUAAAUCAUUUGGAUAGCGAGGUUUUAGUGGAGUACGGGCAACAUGUAUUUCAUGGUUUAGUGGCAAUAGUUGCUGAAACUUAUUCCUGAUGAUCCUUUUGUUUGUCCUACUGUAACUUCUCUGCUGUACAAUGUUUAGCCAGCCAAUCUAUGAAGAACACUACUUGACAGUGAUUAAUUGAUUUUUUUUUUUUUUUUUACUUUUAAUGGUCUGUUUGGCCCUGCUACUAGGUGUAAUUCCUUUUAAUGAAUUUUUGUUUUAGGAGGAUCAUAUGAAGAUACCCUCAACAGCUGCUUUCUGCAGUAGAAUUAGAAGCUCCAAAUUGGAGUGUAUGCUUGAGUCCAGAAUCUAAUUUCUGCUUCCCACUGCGGCAUAGCAGUGGAAGCUUUAGAUUUUUCUCUUUAAUAAACGGUCUCUAAGCGCAGCUGUUGCAAAAGAAGCAGCAGAAGCAAGGGCAAACAGGCUCUUAGUUUUUUUAAACUGACUGUAUAUGCCAGUAACUGAAUAUGUUUCCUCGGAAGGUAAACUAGUCUGCAAAUUUUAAAAAAAUUAUUGAUGAUGAAGAUCGUGACAUGCUAGUUGAGCUUCAACUUGAUUUGUAAUGCAAACAGUGUGAAUGCAGGUUGAUGUCUUUAGCAUCCCGGUUUGCAACUAAAAUGGUUCGAAGAUAUGGACUCUUGAAAAAUAAGAAAGGUAAAUGUUGUGUGAACUAUGAAGUAUCAGAAGGUAUUGAAGUCAUAGGAAGAUCUAAUUUGUUCAAUGUAAAUUUAGAUGAGGUGGACAAUUCAAGAAAGCUUUGUGAAAUGGCUUACUUUUUGGAGGUCAUCAGAGAUAUCCAAGGCCGAGUGGCUGCAAAAAGCAAGAAGUUAGUUCUUGAGGUAUUACUGUGAACUUUCUUCAUGAUCGGUAGUCAUUUUGUUUGUUAAAGUUUAAGCUACCUAUGAAGUUUCGAAACUCUUUAUAUUACCAAUUAAGUCCCUACAGCUCAAUAAGUUAUCAAUUUCAACCCGUUUUAUCAGAUAGUUACAUUUUUUGACAUAAUCUUAAAGGGCAUAUCAAUUAUUUUGUCAGUGGAUGGUUGAAAGCUAAUAAAAAUAAUAAACUUGUAAUUUCUUAAGACUUGGGGGACUUGUUUGAUGAAGAUAAUAGUUGAGUUAACCAAAUUGGCACCUUCAUAAAAGUAAGGGGAAAUAAUGUGAUUAUUUAACUUUUAGUAUUAUUAUUUUUGUAGCUCGCAGAUGGCGGAGAUGCAACGAACAUGGCAGAAAAAGAGUUGUCGCAGGAUGAUUCUCUGCUUCCAGUUGUUAUUGCUGAUACUGCUUCACUACAUGCCGUGGAAUCUCAUAAUAUGCAAGAUUCAACACCAACAAAUCUAGCUUUGACACCUGCAAAAUCAGCUAUGAACUUAGCCAAUUCUAGUGAUUUCCGUGAAACAGCGGAAGACCUAAGAAAAAAAAUGAUUUUGGAGAACACCAAGGAUAUGAUUAGACGCUGGGAAAUAGAUAAUUUCGACCUAAAAACUGUUGUAAAAGAUGCUUUACACUCGGGCCGUCUCCCUUUGGCUGUUCUUCAGCUUCACCUCCUACGUCAAAAGGAGUCAGUUUCUGAAAAGGAAUCUCAAGAUACCUUCAGUGAAGUUCGGGAAGUUGGGAGAUCUCUUGCUUACGAUCUGUUUAUAAAGGUACAGUAUUGUUCUAUCAUUCGCAACAUUUAGGUAAAUAGUGGUAAACUUCUUCACUAUCCAACCAAACACAAUGGAAGUAUGAGCUAUCCUUACUUGGAAUUGGGUAGGGAAGAUAUGUCCUUUAUGCGAGGAAUAGCAAUUCCAUCGGGGAUGGUGACCUCCUCACUAUUGUCGGCCCCUACAUUUUCUACUAAUCCCCACUAUUCUCAGCCAAACACUAUGGAGAUAACACCUAGAACUAUGAGUUCAACUUUUGAGUAACUUCUCACUUUUCCCCAGCUAGAGGAUCCUCAGACCAAACACUGCCUUCUAGGUAGAAGAGAAACAAAACUUGUUCAGGUCAAAACUGGAUUAGAUAAAGCGUAAAAUCAAUCCCAUCUGUUGGGCUAGGUUGGAUCUCGGAAGCCCGAUAAAAUCCAGGUCGGUCUUUAGUUUCCUUUAAAGCCUCCACACCUGGAAUGGUUGAUUUUAAUUUGGCCCGACCAAGCAUGGCCAUUUGGACUGGGCCUGUGCUCAAAAUAGCUAGAGAAAUCCAGGACCGGGCCAGGCAUUUUCUCUCGACAGAAGAACUUGAGUUGGCCCAUGAUUCACUAAGGUCCAGUGAUCAUCUACUAUGCAGGGCCGACCUGCACCUGGUUAGUCCGAUUGACCCAACACCGGUAUUAAUUUGGAGAGAACAUUUUGUGGGCCAAGUUUUAUAAACAGUGUUUUAUGUCCUGAUGUGAUUAUUUUCGGGGUCAGACCAGAUCGGUCAACCCAAUGGGAAUACAUCUUGCCAUGCUUUCUAUGAUUUGACUUGAGUUUCUGCUGUGUUUUAACACAUUCUGAUUGACAGGGUGAAAGUGGGCUAGCUUUGGCUACACUAGAAAGACUUGGAGAUGAUAUAGAAACUGUCCUCAGACAGUUGUUGUUUGGUACUGUCAGGAGAUCACUCAGAGCACGAGUUGCAGAAGAAAUGAAGAAGUAUGGAUACUUAAGAUCACAUGAGUGGAAGAUAUUGGAGAGAAUAUCUCUGAUCGAGGUUUGCUUGUAUGCCUCAUCUUGUGUGUUUCUGUCAAUAUUUUGAAGAGACUUUUAAAUAUAGAUCCUUGUAAAAUCAUACUUUUCUGUGCAUAUCCCUGUGAAAGUUUCAUUCCAUACAUAUCUGCUGGCUUUCUUACAAAUAAGAAAACCUUGUCCUAAGUUGGGGAAUCAUCCAAAUGGGAAAAGUUGAUUUUAUAUUGAAAAUAAAAUAUUUAAAGAGAUGUGUUUAUUUAAGUUCAAGGGAAUAUGUGUAAGAAAUCAAAUUUUUGAAGGCAGUCAUUAAUAUUCGCAGGUAUAUUGUACGUAGAUGGGUAUCUAUGUAUAUUUCUUUUUUUUUUUAUAUGCCUAAAGUAGUUACUGUUUGCUGUGUAAUUAAUUCAGCAUGCUUUCAUAUCAAGCAUACUAUUCAAUCUUGUAUCAUACUAAUCAUAAAUUUUGCUUUUGUUGGAUUGAAAAGAGAUUGUAUCCUAGCAGUAGUUUUUGGGGCACAUAUAAUGGGAAGCAAAAACUUAUUCGCGAAGCUGCUUCAAAGGUUGCAUCCACCAAAGCAGAUAGGACAUCAUUGGUUUUACAUGUUUAUGAUAAUACUAUUAUUGAAUGUGGGGAUAUUGAUGGAGCUGUUAUUGGUUGUUGGGCAAAUGUCGAUAGUACUAUUGCUCCAUCUGAGGUUUGUGAAGAUGAUGCUCAUUCUGGGUAUUGGGCUUGUGCUGCUGUGUGGUCUGAUUCCUGGGACUCGCGAACUAUGGACCGUGUAAGUGCCAUACUGUUAGUUUCAACUUAUUUUGUAGCCUCAUGUCAGAAUAGUCUGUGAAGCAUAGUAGUGUGGCAAUAGUGUGAGAAUCUACAGUGUAAAAACUAACAACAUAAAUUAAUUCACACAUGUUGUUUAUGUAGUAAUAAUGUUGUCAUACAAAAUUUUCUGACAUGUAUAGCCCAUAAAACCAACUCUCAGUGUGGUGUGCUUUUUUUUUUUGAAUGGAAGUUUGAUAAAGUUCUGGUCAUCAACUUUUUUAAUAGUAGUUGUAUUAUGUUAUGUACUUGAUGCUUUGUGAUAGAGAAUUUGACCACAAUCAAAUUAUCAACUUCUUAACACAUACAUACAUAUAUAUAUAUAUAUAUAUAGAGUCCGGCUAUGGUGCUUGUAAAAGUACCAAGCACUUGGUGCUUGUAAAUUUUUUACCGUUAGACUUAUGCCUUUGAUCAUUUUUACCCGUUAGAUUAUACUAUUCAACCAACCACCCACUCAACCCUAGGGGGCCCACAUCAUCCUAACCGCACAUCCUUUAAUCCAAGGGUUGAAAACUUACAAGCACCAAUGACUUGGUACUUUUAAAAGCAUAGGAGCUCAAUUCUAUAU
This 58162-nucleotide long non-coding RNA is filed under the name Ananas comosus (pineapple). RNAcentral's name for it is "long non-coding RNA (ACOM_LNC019014)". The record is from RNAcentral. Lineage: Eukaryota; Viridiplantae; Streptophyta; Magnoliopsida; Poales; Bromeliaceae.